GGAUGAUGAGUAGUCAGCUUGUGCUUGGAUGGCAGGAGAAACCAAUGCAGGACCCUGACUUGGAUUGGCUGAACCCAAAAAAAAAAAAAAUUUAAUUAAUUAAAAAUAAUAAUAAUACACAUAUAUACAUACAUAUUUUCAUGAUUUCUAAAGUUCAAACUUCUCUUUUCCGUUCUUGGAAUUUGUUAAUAACUAAAGCAUCACUUAUAAACUGUUCUGUAAGGAAGACCUAGAAUAUUUGCACUCAAACAGUAGAUGGAAAGUACUUCAUCCAGGAUUUAGGAUAUGGGCUCCGAUUAAACCAAAUAUUCAAAUGGUACAUCAGAUGCUUCAGUACUUUGGACCGUCUUUCUCUAUUUAAAAAAUUAAUUCUUCAUUAACCUUAAUUAAAGUAGUCAUCUUUUUCCUCACAUAAAUCAUGAAAAUUCUGUUUAAAGUACAAGAUUUUUCCUCACUUAGUAGACAUAAUAUACAUUGACCAGCCAACAGCCCUUAGCAACUUUAACUUACAAUAUGCAGGCCACUUUGUUAUGAGCUCCAAGCUAGAUUCAUAUUCAGUUAAGAUGUGCUUCUUCAAUUAUAUGACGAAACAAGCUGUGCUCCUAGAAUUACAUGAAGAAACAAAUUAAAAUACAAUGCUUCAAUAUUUUGCCUUUAUAAGACUAAUGUCUUCACAUACUCAGGAAAAGGUACGUGACCGCAUUAAAAUUACUGAAAACAAAUUGUAGCAAAAAACAUUCAUCAUGAAAAGUUUAGGGAACUUCAACACGAGUACAAAAAUGAGAAGCCAAAAAAAAAAAAUUAAAUAAUGCUGUACCUAUGUGAGUAGGUUUUUUAAGUCUAAAGCACGUAGAAACCGUAAGUCCUAAAUAAAUUCAUUGAAAUUGAAAGGCUUACUAUUAUAUAAUUAUCAUAAAUAAAUAAGCCAGAUGGUAUUUCAGAAAAUAUACCAUUACUAGUUCAAUUGUGCACAUUUAAAAAUUGGGUCCAUAAUCACUCACAAAUAUGAGAAUUGAUGACUUUAACAAUUGACCAUCAGGGAACGUAAUCCUAUGUGCUCUCUGUAAAGUAACUAUUUAUCAAAAAUACAUUGAAAAUCCAAAUUAUUCCAGCGAUAAUUAGUAUACUUAAAAAAUGUGCAGCUAAAACCUACUAAGUCAAAAGUAAGGUAGCUCAGUAUGGGGUCAAUGUAGAGCGAAAAACAAAAUUCAUCAAAGAGUGAAUAUGGUGAUAAUAGGACACUACUUUCUUUUACUCAAGGAGUGAAGCAUACGUGAACGAUUUUAUGCAGGUGGCAUAUUUCUUUGUCUUCCAUGAAGGUUAAUUUAUAAUGCAUGUACAUACUUCAAAUAGAAGGAUAAAUUAGAAAAGAAUAAUUUCUAGAGUUGAGAUAAAGCACUUUAGAUGUAAUUGAGGGAAAGAUGAAAAAGGAAUCAUAUAUAGCACAUACGUUCUUUUAGCCUCAUGUAAGCAACUUUUGCUGCACUCAUCUCCGCUUGCUUCUUGGACUUUGCUUCUUGUCCAGAAAAAACUUGUCCUCCUACCUCAACAGUUGACACAAAAGUUGGUGCAUGAGAUUCACCAGAUUGCUUAGUAUUAUAAACUGGCAAAGCAUACGCUUCUUUCUGAGCCAAUUCUUGCAAAAGGUUCUUGUAAAGAACAGAAUCAUCCUGGAAAAAUAUGUUUAUUAACAAAAUAUGCGAAUAUGAAAGAAGAUAGAUCACUACUAAUACGAAAUUCAUAAGUUAUUCAUUAACAGUUAAUUAGAAGACUGGCCUGUUGAAAUUUAUCAAGUGACAAUGACAUUAAUGCAACUUUCGCCGCUUCAUGCUCGGCAUCUUUUAAAGUAGGAAAAAACUGAUGACUCUCAUAAGUUUGUCCAUCAAUUGUGACCUUACACUUGAAACGACUAGCAUGAGGAGGACCUUCCCUCUCACAUGAAUACAUAGGAAGAGGGAGAUUUUUCUUUUGAGUAUAGCUCUGCAGCUGGUUUUUGUAUAGGUGUUGCAUAUCUAUAAUUCAGAAAGAAAUUAUGAGUCACAUGACUUCUCAUCAUAAACAAUAGAAAUUCUUUCAUUUCCUUAUUUAUUGCCUAGAUAAAAACCAGAAGUCAAAUGUUCAGAAUGCAAGGAAAUAGGAUGUCAAUUCAAUGAAACAUCAGUAAACAUAGCAGUGAUGGCUGAAUCGCCUUGAGGAUAGAAAUACCCCGACCUUACCCUCCCCCGCUCCUUAAAAGAGUACCCUUCAUCCAUACCCCACUCUCACAUCAGGACUGCCAUCUUUAAUAGUUCUUACCACAGUAGGACUGGAACGCACACCCAUGAUCUGUGUCCCGCCAGUACAAUAUUUUAACUAAGUAGCAGCAGAACGCCAAAAAGCAUCAAUGUAAUUGAAUGGAUAAAAUAAGUACCAUCUAAGCUAAAUUCAUACCUUCAAACAAGAAACCAUCGAUGCGAUCAUCAAGCUAAAUGCCCAAGCAAUGUACUAAAGCAAUCAAAUCUAAGAAAUUGAACGUACAAAAUAAGUUCCAAUUAAGCUAAAUUCAUACCUUCAAGUCAGAUACCUCUUACUUGAAAUAAAUCAAGGUUACAGGAGAUGAGAGCACAAUCAGCUUAAUUGGUAGAGUUUAAAAAAUAUUAGGUCCUCUCUGGGGCAUACACAAUGAUGAAGAUGAAAAAGAUGAAGACUCAAAAAGUGAGAGAGAGAAAGGAGAAAGCUGAGAUUAGCUGCUUAGAGAAGGAGGCAGCAGAGAGGAAACCAAAUGGGAACAAAACCCUAACCUUGGGAAAGGAAAUAAUAUAAACAUAUACUAAGGUAUUUAUACGAGAAAAAAUACCUGGGAAAGGGCUGAAAAGAAAGAAGUUGUAUCUAUACCCCAACUGCACCCUAUUAGUUAUUUGAUUGACACAUUGCUUGACCCAAUUGGCUAGGUGUUUCCUCGUACGGGCACUGAAUAUGAAGCAGUGUGAACACUGAAAUUUCAAGUUUCCUUAUAUAUACUUUUUGAUUUCACUAUUUUACUUCUUUUCACUCACCUGAGGCUCAAUGUAAGAUCGUCAAAUAGACGGAAUACCUGAGGCUCAAUGUAAGAUCUUCAAAUAGAUGGAAUUGGAUUGAAAGAUUGAGUUCUCUCACUUGAUAUCAAAUUCAGAGUUAACUUAGAGAUCUAUUUCAUUAUAUGUUAUUAGUGCGUCUCAAAAAUGACAUGUAAUGGUCCACUCAAAUGUUUUAUUUAAAUAUCCGUCCAUAUAUUAUCCAAUAUUCCCUUUCAACAUUACCGUACCUAGCAUUAAUAAAUUUUAGGCACAUCACAGCAUAUCCAAAUUUACGUAUGUCCAGCAAUUUUCUAAUUGAAAAUGAUUUUGUACAUAAAAAUACAGAUAUGUGGACAAGAACAACAAUCAAGAUCAUCAAAUUUAGUAUGGAAGAAAAGAAUACAAAUGAAAAUAUGUGACAAUCCAACUUCAAUUGAAGUUGUUAAUUAGAACUUCACCAAGGCCAACAGAAGUAUGAGAAACAUGAAUCAUAAUUAUAAAAAAUAAUAAUAACAUAAAUCACUUAGAAGUUCUCUGAUGCGGUAAAUUGAAAUAGAGCUACAUUCAAGAAAUCAUGACUAUAGGCUUUGUCUUUAAUAGCCUCUUUAAUCCUCAAUCUUUUGACAUCACCAUAGCAGAAAAGUAAGUACACAAAAUUCAACAAUAUAUGCAUGAUCAAUCAAUAAAACCAAUAAACCAAAUAUCUAAAUCAAGAAAUUACAGAAAGGAAAAGAAAUUAUUACUAAAAUAAUUAUCUGACCUCUUGAUUUGUGAACAUCAUUGACAGUUGAGAUCGUUGCAUUGACCUGAGUAGUUCGAUCUGUUUCUCGAGCAUUUACUUGCACUGCACUUUCACUCGAAGAACCUACAAAAAUUAUUUAUAACCCAGUGUAAAGAAGAAGUAAAGUUUUCCGCACGAACAUGGUAAAGUAAAGUUUUCUGUAGGAAAAUGGUAACUUCAAAAUCCGUUUCAAACCUAUCAUACAUCCCCCACCCUCAUUUAAGACUAGUGCUUGCAAAAACUAGAAGUAAUUUAUCCAGAACAUAAAAGCAGAGAAAAUCCAGUCCAGUAUAAAUAUAAAAUUAGAUAAUACCUACCAUUUACCAUUUCAUUCAAGAACACCACACAGUUAACGAAACCAACAUAGGUAUGUUUCCAACUGUUGUACUUUCAAGUUAAUUUUGAAAGCGCGGAAGCUAAAGCCUAAACUGUUGUUUGAUAAAAGCCCAUCCACUGACUGAUACUUGGCGGGUAGCAAUUCCAUUCAAUAGCAGUCAUAGAAUAAAAGUACAAAACAAACCCCUGUUUAAAAAAUGCAAUGAAGCAGCCAUGAUUUCAAUUAUUUGCAUGUCUGGGAUUGCAGUUGAUUCCAAAUUGAGAAUAUACUUCGAGAAUAUGUUUGAUAAGCCCUUAUGUGAUGAUCGCUGGUUUAUUGAGUCUUAAAAGAACAACUCAAUCAACUAAUGUUUGAUUUGAAAAAAAAAAAUGGCAAAUCAAAAAAGUUUUGGAGUAGAUUCUCAAAAGAGUGAUUAUUUGAUAAUCCACCAUAAUCCCACAUAGUUAUCAGAAUGAAAUUAAAAUCCGAGGAAUGUUAUUUAAGGCAAACAGCACUUUUUUUAUUUUAACCAACACUUGCAAAUUGCAAUUCUUAAACUAAAAGCAUGCAAAAUAAAUGCAAAUUAAGAACGCACCUAACAGAAAAUAAUAAUAAUAAUAAUCUGAAUUGGCAAUAUUAAAAUUACCGUUAGAAGAGGAAGCGGCAGGAGUAGAGGAUGGUGGAGGAGGAGACGAGAAAUGUUGGAAAGCGAUUCUAGCGGCGUCGUUUUGGGCCUCUUUGGACGACUUGUAAAGAUCCGGAGUGGUGAAAGAUUGGUCGUUAACGGUAACGGUUGCUUGAAAGCGAGGGUUGUGGUCAAGGCCUUGUUUGGCUGUUGUGUAUACUGGCAAGUUCCACACUCUCUGGUGGCAUAGCUCCUGCAGCUUCGUUUUGUACAUCUUUUUUGCUUACAAUAUUUUCACUGAUUUUAAUUUUUUUUUUGGAAUGGGAAACUCAAGAGAAGAGAGAAAUGGAAUUUAGUUGCAAAAUUUGAAGUUUAAUUAUCAAAUAUUACGCCAAGAGAGUACGCUUCAGUUCCACGAACAGGUUCAGAAUAAAUGACGCUUGGGAAUGCUGAAAUGGAAUAAGGCCUUUUUAUAAACAAAUAAUAAUAGUAAACCGACGCCACGGUGUUUUAAAAAUAAGUUUUUUUUUUUUUAACCUUGAAAUUCCUUAUCACAGUGACGUUUUAAAAUAAUAUUUUUUUAAAAUGCAAAAAAAAAAUUUCUUUCUACCAUUUAUAAAAAAGAAAACUUAAAUAAUUUACUGUAUUAAACGUUAAAAUAAACUAAUAAAAAAUUAUCGAUAUUCUAAAAACCAAAUAAAUAAUACCUUUCCUUUAUCUUCUUCUCAAGGAAGGUGGCUAAAAACUUUCUUCUCCAAAGAGAUCUUGUUCUAUAAGGAGACAUGACAUGAAAGUUGAAGGAGAGGGUGAUCGAAGGGGGGAAUAAAAAAUCUUUUAUGGUUGGCUCGUGGACAUGGACUUCUUAUGAAAGGUGGUAACGCUGUCUCAACGUCAUAAUUAUACCGAAGCUAAGUCCAUUUCAAUCAAUAUAAAAUAUGAAUGCGGUAACGACUAACGAGAAGUUAAUAGUUUUGGAUCAAACGAAUAUACAACGUCGUUCGUGUGUUUAUCAAAUAAGAAUUCAAUUUAAACAAUGUAAAUGUGUUAACAAGAAAUUGAGAGUUAUUGAUAAGACGAGCAUAAAAUUAAAACGUCAUUCAUAUGUUCAUCAAACAAGAGUCCAUUUAUGUAUAUGUAUUAACAAGGAGUAGGGAGUUUUAGGUAAGACAAGCAUGUUGAGUUGUAAUCGGAAUAGACAGAAAUCAGAAUAGGAAAUGGAGAUCAGAAUAAAUUAUUUAUUUGAACUGUAGGAAUCGAAAUCGGAAUGAAUUGAAUUGUCAUAAAUGUGUUUACUUUGUCUUGGAAUCGGAAUCGAAAUGAAUUAAAUUAUAACAAAUUAUUAAAAAGUACUUAAUAAAUUAUUGUUAUAAUUAUUAUUUUAUAUUUUAAUUAUAGUGAUUAUUUAUUCAAAAAUUAUUAUUAUUAAUUAUUGUCAAUAAUAUAUUGAUAUAUUAAUUAAUUAUAAUUAUUAUUAUAAAUAUAUUAAUUACUAAUAUUAAUAUAUUUAUCUGCUGUACCGUACAUCCNNNNNNNNNNNNNNNNNNNNNNNNNNNNNNNNNNNNNNNNNNNNNNNNNNNNNNNNNNNNNNNNNNNNNNNNNNNNNNNNNNNNNNNNNNNNNNNNNNNNNNNNNNNNNNNNNNNNNNNNNNNNNNNNNNNNNNNNNNNNNNNNNNNNNNNNNNNNNNNNNNNNNNNNNNNNNNNNNNNNNNNNNNNNNNNNNNNNNNNNNNNNNNNNNNNNNNNNNNNNNNNNNNNNNNNNNNNNNNNNNNNNCAUCUGCUGUACGGCCAAGGCGGAUGUACGGUACAGCAGAUUUGACUUUUUAUUUUUUAUAUUUAUAUCUUUUAUUUAAAGAAGGGGCAUUUUAAGAAAUUUUGAAUGUCAACGGAAGCAAAAGAACUCUAGGUAAUGGGAGAUUGAUUCUCACCUCUCCCAAGGAAUCAAUCUCUCAUUCCUCAUUCUCAAAUAGUGGUGGGUUCCAUGAUUUCAAUUCUGAUUCUUACUCCAUUUUUUGGAAGUAAAUGCCGUUAAUCAUUUUGAUUCUCCAAUUUGGAAAAUAAAUGUACCAUAAUAUUUAAUCAAUUAUUAUGAUUAUUGGAUUUUUCAGAUACUUUUAUCUAUUUUGGUUGGAGGGACGAAGUUCACUUUCUAUUAAAAGAAACAUUAGAGGAGCUUUCAAAGUCUAGGCUAAGGUUGUUUCCCAUGGCCUUGAAGCAAUACCCAAAAAGAGCUUUCCGGCUGGCAAAAUAGGCUUGUGUUUCUGCGUCGCAAAAUGAUGUGAAUGAGCUUUCGGAGUGUUUCCUCUGAAAUUUUAGAUGCUGCAAAAUCAACAUUGUCCCGCUCGAAGUAACCCGGACAAUUUCAUUUCCUAAUUUCUUCUUAUUUAUUAUGGCAUUGAUUUUCAUUGCAAGCUCAUUGCUCUGCUAAGAAAAAGAAUAAAUGGGGGCCAAAAAAGGAAGAAAGAAAUAGAGGCAAAGGCAACAACAUUAAUGCACAAACCAGUAAAGGUAUUCCAUCGAUUUACGGCCACUGAUAGCAAGCCGGGGCCUUUAAAAACGGAAAAUACAAGCAAAGAAAAAUAGAAGCCAAUUGCUCAAUAGUGCAUAAUAUGCAUACGGAAAAUUUUCAUCACAUCACGACCCACAGUUAUUCGAAUAGGUAAUAAGACAGGAAUUUUCUUUCUUUGUUUAAAGUGAAAAAAAAAAAAAUCAAUGGCUCAGGAAGUAUCCCUCCAAUCUCCAGAACCACUCACUUGGCACUGGCAAGCUGGGUGCGGAGUAGCUUGGCAGCAGCGACCAUGUUUGAGAGGGCUGGCUUCACCUCAGUGUACUUGCGAGUCUUAAGACCACAGUCAGGGUUAACCCACAAAAUGUUGGUUUCUAGCACAGCAAGCAUCUUGUUGAUUCUGUCAGCAAUUUCUUCAGUUGAUGGUAUUCUUGGAGAGUGGAUGUCAUACACACCAGGGCCAAUUCCAGCACCAUACUUGACUCCCUCACGGAAGACAGACAGGAGCUUCUCAUCAGAACGAGAGUUCUCAAUGGUGAUCACAUCAGCAUCCAUGUCGAUAAUUGAGUGGAUAAUGUCGUUGAAGUUGGAGUAGCACAUGUGGGUGUGGAUCUGUCAAUCAAUAUACAAUAAGAUGAGACACAACAUCAACAGCUAAAUUAGAGAGAUGAGAUUGGAGAUUGAAAGGGCAACUGACCUGGGUAGUGUCCUGGACGCCACAGUUGGUGAUUCUGAAGGAGUGGACUGCCCAGUCCAAGUAGAAAGCAUGCUCAGAUUUCCUAAGAGGCAAUCCUUCCCUCAAGGCAGCCUCAUCAAUUUGAAUAACGUUAAUGCCUGCCUUCUCAAGAUCCUCGACUUCGUCCUUGAUGGCCAAAGCAAUCUGGUAGCAGGUUUCAUGUCUGCAAAAUUGGCAGCGAUUUAUGUUAAACAAUGUUUCCAUUUCAAAAGGUUAACCAAUAGUGAACCAGUUCUCAUUUAUAUACCUGGGCUGGUCAUUUCUAACAAAGGACCAGUUGAGAAUGGUGACAGGGCCAGUAAGCAUUCCUUUCAUUGGGCGAGCUGUCAUGCUCUGAGCCAAGGAGGACCAGAAGACGGUCAUAGCCUUGGGACGGCUCACAUCACCAUAGAUGAUGGGUGGCUUCACACAGCGAGAUCCAUAGGAUUGCACCCACCCAUUGGCAGUGAAGGCGAAACCUGAUAAUUGCUCUCCAAAGUACUCAACCAUGUCGUUCCUCUACAAAAACAAAUGUCCCAAUUCAAUAUGAGAUACAGCAUACUUCGUAUGCAAUUAGAAAUGCAGAAACAAAAAUGUAUAAAAUUUUAUCUAAUUCAAAACCAGGAGACAUUGCUUUGCUUCCAUUGGGCAUUGUGAAACUCACCUCAGGCUCUCCAUGGACAAGGACAUCAAUAUCAAGCUCUUCUUGGAGUUUGACAACCUUGUUGAUUUCCUCCUUGAUGGAAGCAACAUAUUCUUCCUCAGAAAUCCUAAAAAGGACAAAUAGUCACGGCACAGUUAAUACAGUAGUCGAAGUAAUUUCACACAUGGCAUUGAAUGAAGGAAAACCUCAGAUUGACUCACUUCUUAGCCUUGUAUUCACGGCGGACUCUCCUAAGUUCAAUGGUUUGUGGGAAGGAUCCAAUUGUGGUGGUUGGGAGGAUUGGAAGAUUGAGCUUCUUCUGUUGAGCAUCCAAUCUAGCACUAACGUUUGUAGCACGUCUGUGGUCUGAUCCCUUCAAAGCAGCAGCCUAAUUUACCAAGAGGAAGGAAUCACCGUUAGCAAAAAAAGGAAACUCUAAGGGGCAGCCACAUCAUAAAAAUGGAAAACAAAUCAAUCAUGCCACUUACAGCCUUUUGAACUCUCUCAUUGGUCACUCUCGGGGAGGACUUUCUUGAAGCCUGAGCUGCAGCAUUGGCAGAGAAGAAUCCCUGGAAACAAAUGAAAAGGAGAAACAAAGUUAGUCUCAUUCAUAUCAUUUCAAAAGGAAUAUACAUAUGCAAUUAGUGGGCUGAUUGUGAGAGAAAAUGUCCACAAAACUUUAACCAAACACCAAAUGCCCAAGUUGCCAAAUGAUGUUUAAUUCGGAAAAAUAUAUUUAGAAACAUUCAAAUAAAUAAUUUCCCCUUCUAAAUUUUCAUUUUCAACAACAUAUUUUACAAGCCAAGCUCAACUUCAGGCCAAGAUUUUCUGCUCCUAUAAUUAUAUUUUACCAUAAAACUAGGUCCUUGAAAGGCUAAGAUUUUCUGACUCUUGUGACUAGUCAAAGCCUAAGAUUCUUUCAAUUCAUCCGUAGCUAACAUUUUAGACUAAAAGUAUACCUCAUCCUUUUGGCCAGCCAAAGCCUUGGCCAAUGCAUUCACUUCAACAACUUUCUGGGCAGCAAAUGCCAGCCAUGACUUGAUUUCAUCGUCGAGUUUGUUCUCAUUAACAAGAUCAACAGCAGUGUGAAGAAGUGAGCAGGAGGUGGAGACCACAAGCUUGUCUGCAAAGAAAAAUAAUAAAUUAUACAACAAAUCCCAUAAAAGAAUAAGAAAUAUUUAUCACAAAGAAAAAUGCAGGCAAAGGAUGUAUACCUUUGCCAACAACACCCUCAAGCCCCCGGAGAACACUAAGAGAAGCAGCAAGAUCAUUGGCCCAAAUGUUCCUUCCAUCAACCACUCCAGCAAAGAGGUACUUGCCAGCAGGGAAUCCACUCUUGAUCAAUUCAAGGGUCUUCGUUCCACGAACCAAAUCAAAUCCAUAAGCGGUGACACCCUUCAAAGAAGUGAGGGUCUGGAAUGCCUCAGCUGGAACAUCAGCAAAGUAGGUCUCAACAAGAACAUUCAAGCCAGACAGAGUUGACUCUAGCUCGGCAUAAGCCUCACUGAAUGCAUGCAAUUUGUGUGAGUCAAGAUCCAUAACAAGCAAUGGCUCAUCAAACUGAAUCCAGGAAGCACCAGCAGCCUUAAGCUCAGAAAUAACUUCCCUGCAGAAGUGUUAAUUGGUACAACACAGAUUAAUGAUGUCACUCGAUAUAUACACACAGAGUUAUUUAGCACAUACACAUUUAUAAAUCAGUAAUAGGUGAUAAUUUCUUACUUGUAGAUUGGAAGGAUUUUCGGAAGAAGAGAAAGAAGAGAAAAGGUCUUCGCAACACCCUUGGCAGGCUUAGACAGCAACAAGUAUGACACAGGGCCAAUAAGCACUGGGACAGUUUCAACUCCAAGCUGCAGCAUUAGACAAGUGAUCGAUAUUAGCAUCUCACAAACUUGAUCUGAUUGAUAGAAAGUUACAAGCAAGUUCAGAAUUCGUUUAAUGAAAUCUCUAUGAAAAAUCUUCAGGGUCCACAAUGUGUUGAAAGUACCCUUUUCAAGUAAUUUAUCUUAAGACUAUUUUGCAAACAGUAUUGCUUUCCUUACAGAUCAAAUAAAUCAAACAACAUAUGAACACAUUUACUGAACCAAGUCUAAGUUCAAAGCUCUAUAAAUAAAUGUCAAUGAAUCUAUAGUAAAUUCUAUUGCAUCCUAAGCUAAAGAUGAGCAUAUCAUAUAAGAAUUUCAAGGUGAACGUAACCCAAUUUCAAUAUAUUGUAGAUUCAGAUAUCAAACGAAAUAAAAUUUGUAAAUAUAGACAGAACUGAGAAUAAACACUCACCCCCUUAGCCUCCUUGUACUCAGUCACAGCCUUGUGGGAAGCGUAGGAGAACUUAACAUCGGGUCCCAAUUCAGGAACAAUGAAAUGACUGCAUCAACACGAAGCCAAACACGCGUCAGCAUUCAGUACAAAACCAUUACACCAUAAAUAACUUGAAAUGCCGCUCUUCCAAGUAGUGAAUACUUACUAGUUGGUGUCGAACCACUUGGUCAUUUCCAUAGCGGGAACAGAGGCGUUUCCUCUGGCCAUGGAGAAGUAAACAUCAAAUCCAAUCUCGCCGCCGUUCCAGUUAUACCUCGGGGGCACGGCACCGAGCAUUGCGGUGGUGUCGAGCACUUGGUCGUAGUAGGAGAAAGUGUUGCUGGGAAUGUAUUUGAUCCCGGCCUGGGACAUCUGUUUCCAGAUGGAGGAUCUGAGAUCAGCGGACACCUUUUGCAAAUCCUCAGCGCUGCUCUUGCCAUCCCAGAAGGAUUCCAACGCGAACUUGAGCUCCCUCUUGGGGCCCAUGCGUGGGUAUCCAACGAUGUGAGAUGCCAUUUUACUGUCAUAAUCACGUCAUCAAUGAAUCGAAAAUCAGUCACUUUCAUUAAAUCAAGAAAAUAUUCAUUCAAAUGGAUGGGUCAUUGCUAUUACUGCUCAAAUCAAAUGAAAUCAAGAACACUUAUCAGAGCAUAAAAUCUUAAAUUAAUUUUUUUAUAAAAAAAUAAAAAACCAGUUGAAACAAGCUGAUAAUAAUCCAAGAGUUUGAGAUGAUUUUUUUCUUUCUGUAAUCACAUGAACAAUUAUGUACUUUCAGUCAUUUUUGAAGGAUUAAAACAAAAAAUUCUACAAAUAGAUUCUGAAAAGAAGAAUCUAAAAAUAGAUUCAAAAACAGUAACACAAGUAGAGUUCAAAUUGUUUUUCGGAAAAGAUUAAUUACAGAUCUGAUUGAUUCACGUUCAGAUCUAGCAAAAUCACGGCAGCCAAACACUAGAUCUAACACUAACAGUCACUCACCAGUCCAUUAGAAAAUGAAAUCAAGUUCAAAAUUCUUUUAAAGUUAAUUCUUUUUUAGAAAAUGACCAGAUUUUAGUUGAGUAUUAGUGAGUUUUUUACAAAAUAAUUUAUUUUUGUUUUUUAGAUCCAAAAGUUCGGAAAUCAAAACCAUGUUCAAUGCUUAUUCAUGAUUAACGGCGUAAAAACGCUACUGCAGAGAAGACAUAACGAAAAUGGGAACCGUACCAAACAGAGAAAGAAGAGCAGAGAAAUUGAGAGUCGAGAGGAGAGAGAGAAGAGAGCGGCGAGUUUGGGGGAGUGCCCUCUCCGUUAUUUAUAGCCAAAAAUCAAAUCUGGUUUGGUGGUUGCCUUUGGCGUGCCAACCUGUAGAUCUGAGAUUUUUCAUCUUAAUUUCUUUCUCUUAUUUAUUUAUUUAUUUAUUAUGAUUUUCAGUGCAGUUCAUAAAAUAUAGAGCUGACGCGCGCUUUUCUGAUGUGGCGCGUGAAUUGGAAAUGCGGUAGGUCUUUGUGGGCCCCACGGCACGGUCAGGACUGAAGGAAAAAUGUGAGAAGUUAUCAUAAUUUCAACAGUGCCAUAAUUAGCAAUUACACCACCAAAUAUUUCUUGAGUUUUUUUUUUUUGAUUGCUUUAAAUGCAGAGUUGUUAUGAAUUGUGUUAAUUGUAGAGUUGUUAUGAUUAGAUUACAUUAUAAUUCGUCACAAUUAUGAUAGGUAUGUACGUAUAUAAUAAUUUAUGAGUAAUGAUAUAACCACAAACUCUUAUACAAACUUAUUUUGUACAAAUUGAUGUGGCAUGAUAAAAUUAGUUGAAUUAAAUAUUACUUGAUCCACAUGAUUUGUUAUUAUUAUUUUAUAUUUUCAUUCAACCAAUGAAUUAAUGACACGUCAGUUUGUACAAGAUAAGUUUGUACAAGAGUUUAUGGUUGUAUCAUCACUCAUAAUUUAUAUAAGAUCUCGAAUAUUUAAAAAAUUUAUAAAUCAUUAUUUUCAUGUACAUUUACCUGGUAGCAAUGACAAUAACAUAAAAUAAACUCCAAACAAGAAUGGAUUAUAUUAUUUAUGUUAUUUUAUAGCUUUUUAAUUGAUUUUUAAAAGGAUUAAUUGUUAAUCAUUACUCUCCAACCGUAAUCACCAUUAAAUAUUUAUUUAAUUUAAUAGUCGGUAGAUCAUAAAUAAGAUUAGAAUAUUUAAUGGACAAUCUAAUUGCUACUACAAUUGUUAUCAUUUUUUUAAGGUAAGGGAUUAGACAAUACUCAAAUUUAUUUUUUAACCCCUUACUCCCUAAAGAUUCGAAUUUAACUAACUAAUUAAAUAAGACUGCUUAAAAACCACUCAACCACAUCUUUUGGGGACCAAUUAAUAUCGAUGUUUAAACUGAGGUUUAUUAUUAAAUUUUUUAAGUUUCAAGUUUCAACCGCUAACAACAUUAUCAUCGAUUAAUGAUAAAUAUAAUAAUAUUUCAUCAAAAAACCAUUUAACACAUCCAUCCAUAUUAAACAUAAGUAAAAAAUUUAUCAUGCAUUUCAAAUAUAUUUUUCAUCCUAAAAGUUAUGGAGAAAAUCUUGAUAUCAAAACUUACAAUGUAAUUAUGGGAUGUAAUUUUGCAUUUGAGGUCAGCACAACUUAAAAAUUACUAUGAAUGAAAAUUUAUAAUAAGCAGACACCACAAAAAAAAAUUAUUUAUAAGUAUUACAAUCAUGCAGUUUUAUUUAAGUAUUUAACCAAGUCAUUCAAUUUCUAAUUAAGACGGUAUAAAUUAGAUUUGGGCUGCCUAAGACCAAAAGUCAAAAAAAAAAAAAGAAUAUUCCUAAUAAGCAGCCUACCGCGGUCACGCGCCUUAAGAAACGCUUGGACUUAGCACACGAUUUUAAUCCAAAAUGUAUAAAAAAGGAAAAAUUUAUGAGGUGUAUAAUUAUCUUGAGUUGUUAUAUUUUGAAGAAACAAUGAAGAAAGUUGGUGGCCGAAGUUGAUCCGGGGCGAAUGGUGGUGGGCCCACGUUGUUGCAUUAUAAUUGGAGUUAUUGUAAUUUUUCUUAUAAUUAAUAAACUCCAUUUUUCAAAGAAAAUAAAUAAAUAAAUACACUCCCGAUUACGAAAAUAUCAUUUCAUGAGUGUCAAAGUUAGAGCUGGCAAAAUUUGACACGACCCGAUUACCUGACACGAACACGACAUAAAUAAAUAAGUAUGGAUCGUCAAAUUUAACACGAUUAUUAAAUGGGUCGGGUCUGGGUCAACACAAUUUUUUUCCGUGUCGGGUUUGGGUUAAAAUUCUUGACCCAUUUACCCGAUCAAUGACCCGAUUAUAUUUUCUAUUUUAAAAUAAUUUACAUAUUCUUAUAAUUAAAACUCAAAUAUUAGAGAUAUUUUUUUUAUUCUUUAAAAUGGUGAAUAUAAACACAGUGUUUUAUUUAUAAAAUUUUACAUACAUUUAGAGCUUCAAUAGUGUAAAUGUGUAAAAAUUGAUAGACAUGUAUAUUUUAUAAUAUUGAUAUAUAAUAUUAUAUAUAUAUAUAUAUAAUUAAAACCUCAAUAGUGUACAUGUGUAAUAUAUUGGUAGAUAUGUAUAUUUUAUAAUAUCGAUAAAUUAUGUAUGUAUGUAUUUAUGUACAUACGUAUGUAUGUAUUUAUGUAUAUACGUAUGUAUGUAUUUAUGUACAUACGUAUGUAUGAUAGUGUGUAAAUAUUUUAUGUAACUUUUGUUCAAUAUAUAGAUAUUAAACGGGUUAUUGGGUAACCCGAUUGUUUUUCCGUGUCGGGUUUGGGUCUCAAUAUUUUGACACGAUUAUUAAAUGGGUCGGGUUUGGGUCGACCUAAAUUUGACACGACACGACACGAACACGACCCGAUGACCCGUUUUGCCAGCUCUAGUCAAAGUGACCGUCACCUACGCAUCGCGUUUGUUGGGCGGGGUGGGUAAGGUGGGGCGAGGAGUUUGUUUGAUCGUCUGAUUACUUUGAUUUUGAUGAAACGUAUGGACGACGGCGAUGGCUUGCCAGCAAGUGGGUUUAUCAUGAUUUUGAUUGUAUUCGGGGAGAUGCUUAUGUAUAUCCUCAAAACUUCUUGGAAAUGAAAACCGCUGGGGUGGCAAAUCUUGACCAAUAAAGUGUGCGUGAUGUUGCGUUUAUAAAUUUCAAUAAUACUAUUGGCCGAUUGAGAUUAUUUUUAAAAAGUUUAAAAAUAAUUUUUAAAGGUUAAAUGUUAAUUUUAAUAUUGAAUAAAUUUUUAAAAAUUAUUUUUGAUAAAAUCAUUUUAUCCUCCAAUAAAUUUUAAAAAAUAGCGAUACAGUAAUUUUUUAAAAUCUAAUUUUAAUAAUCAAAACUAUUUUUUUAUAUAAUUUUAUAGAUAUCCGCAUAUAUAUAUUAUAAAAAUUCGAAAUCAUUAUUAUUAAUUAGGAAAUAAAAUCAUUAACUUUUAAGAAAUUAUUAUUAUUACCAAUUAUACUGACAUAACAAAAUAAAAAAUUAAUUAAUAUUAUAAAUAUUUAUUUCAGUUAUCAACUAUUAUAUAUACACAAUAAAAAAUAUUUUAUAUACAUAUUUAUAAAUGUAUAAAUAAUUUUUAUUCAAUAUUAUAUCGAAUUAAUCAUUUACAUUCUUGCAACAAGUUAACAAUAAAAUUUACCAAACACAUACGAUUGUUUUUAAAACUCAUAUUAUUUUUUUAAAAAAAAAUUACUAAACCUUUAACUGAUUCUCUUACAACUGAUUAUUUCUACAGUACAAUUAACAACAAUUAUUUUAAAAACUAUAACAUUUUCAAACUAGCCCCAUGACAAUAUUGUUAUUGUUGUUUUUCUUACUCUUAUCAAUAAAACUACGUUGCACAUAAGUGCAUAAAAAUUCACACAAAAUAAACUAUUUAACUUUAGGGUAUUAAUUGAAAAAAAAAAUCAGAUUAAGGUGAAUAAAUAUCAGAAAAUAACAAAUAGAUAAACUCUCACACUCUUUAAAAAAAUUAAUUUUAUAAUUUUAUUUAAAACCAACAGAUAUUACCAAACUUAACGGAUCAAUGUUCCAAUGUUUUCUUUUUAAUUUCAAAACCAACAGAUAUUCUUUGUUCAUUAUAUGACCUCCAAACAAAUAAUUUCAUUAAUAAAAUAAUAAUGAAAAGUAUCGUGGUGAGUACAGAGUAAUUCGGUGGCUAAUAAAAGUCUCUAUUUUUCGUCUCUGUUUUUCAUUUUAACUCUUGGGGUUGGUGCCACUUCGGCCUUGGUCGGAGUGGUGGGCUGCUGCCCUCACAAGUAUUGUGAGGACAGUGGUUCAAGCCCCCACAAAUAUUUUUGUGGGGGCUAACGUACUUAUUUAUUUAAUAUUUCAAAAAUUUCUUCUCCCUCGUGCAAUACGAGUGGAGUAUGGACAUCCCUCCUCUAUAAGGGAUUAUUUGUCUGGGCAUGUACUUCACAGAAUUCAAUGUAAUAAUAUAAGUCUCAAUCAUAUAUUUUUGAUUGUAAAUAUCAAUAUAAUAUAUCUGCUAUAAUAGCAGUUGUAAAUAUCUGUGUAAUGCAAUAAUAUGAUAAUUAAUCAUUAUUCAAAAAAAAAACUCUUGGGGUUGGUAGGCUCGUGAAUGGUCCACGUAACCUCUGGACGUAACACUCAAACAAAGACAGCACAAGGCACAUGAAAAAUGCCUAAAAACCGUAAAACCGUGACGUGUUCAACAUAUUAAUAAAUUUAUACUGUGUUUUCUUUUUUUUUUUAAUACUGUGUUGAUAAAGCACUUACGAUGGAACGACCAAUUCUAUUACUUGCAAAACUAAUUAAUAUUUCACUCUAUCAUCUAACUAAUGGAAGGCCAUCUUAAUUGAGGUUGCAAUAGUUAGAAAGUAGCGGGAAGGGUGGCCAAUGCUCCAUAUUAAUUUGCAUCAAUCCCUUUCUGGUGAAGAAGUACGGGUGAAGUAGAGGUCAAAGUUAGAAGAUGAAGGGUGUGUUUGGGAAUUGAGAGUGAGGUGCUGUAGUUUUUUAGCUGCAGUUGCUGUGAAAUAAAAGUUAUAACUGUGGAAUAGAAGUUGAGAAAAAAAAUUUGUUAAGCUGCCAAAGCCCAGUUACAAAUGUUACCAAACACCUUAGUAGCUAGGCUUUGGCAGCCCAUCUACCCCAUCACACUCCCAAACGGAUUAGAAGGGGACCGGGAUUGCUUUGUCAUAUUUGAAAAUGAUUUUGAAAAAAUAAAAAUUAAGUUCAGAAUUUGGUAAAUUCCUUUAAAAUUUCUUUUAGCAAAAUCACUCUCUCCUUUAGAUUUUGAAAAGUAUGGAAUGAGUAGUUUUUUAAAAUUUAAUUUUGAAAUUCGGAUUCAUAUUUAAUAUAAUACCAUAUAUCAUAACAUGUAUUAUAAAAAUCUAAAAUUAUCCUUAUUCAAUCAAUUAAGAAGUAAAAUCUUACAUUUAAAGAUAUUAUCAUUAUCAAUUAUAUUUAGAUAAUAAAAAAUACAAUUAAUAAAAUAAAAAUAUUUAUUUUAGUUAUCAAUUAUUAUAUAUAUACAUAAAAUGUAAUUAUAUAAACAUAUUUAUAAAUGUAUGUGUAAAUUAAAUUUGUAGAUUUAUGUUUAUAUAGAUCAUUUGCAUUCUUAUCACAUUUUAAAAGUGAGAUUUAUUAAAUAUAUAUAUGAUUAUUUUUAAAAUUUACAGCACUUUUUAAAACAAAAGUAUCAAAAGUUUAAUUGAUUCCUUAUUUUUACUGUACAACUAACAGUAAGAUGUGUUUGGUUCAAGUAUAAAAUGAUGGGAUUGGACAAUUUUAAGAUUAAAUAAUCCUAAUGCAAUGUUUGGUACCAAAAAUAAUUGUGGGAUAAAAAUAGUGGACCCCACCAUUUAAUCCAACACAAUGUCAAAAUUUUAUCACAAAGGGGGGUGUGGGAUAAGCUAAAACUUAAACGUAGGAUAACAAAAAAAAAGCCCAAAAUUUUAUACAACACAGUGAUUUUUUUUUUUUUUUGAGUAUGUCAUCAUCCAAUGAUAGUAUAUAUGCCAGAACACUCUUUUGACGUUAAUGAUAUGUAAUAUUUUCAUAUAUACAGCUAGUGACAUUGUUAUGUAAUUUCUUUUUCAUUUAUAGAUUUAUAUUAUUAUUAUAUUUGUUGAUGAUAUUCUUGUUAUGUUUAUAAUUAUAUUAUUUAGUAAUUUAUAAGUUUAAAAACUAUAACAUGUUAAAUAUAAGAAAAACUUUAAGCGAAGAUUUUGUAUUUUUUAACAAAUUUACCAAUAAUUUUUUAUUUAAGUUAGAUUAUAUUCCAUGUCAUUUUAAAAUAAAUCUAAGAUAAUUUUGAUAAAUUAAUAAAUAAGACAUAUUAUUAGUUACUAACCAAUUUCAUGGCAUACCAAACAUGAGAUAUGAUUAUUUACAGUCUAAUCCAACAUUGCACCAAACGUAAUAGAGUAUUAUAUAUAAUCCAAUGUUAUCAAAUCCAAUCAUAUCUUAUCCAAUCCGAUCCGAUCCAGUCUAAUCCAAUUUGACAUACCAAACAAGCCCUAAUUAUGUUAAAAACUACAUCAUUACCAAACUGACCCUUAAUACAAUCUCAUACAUACAUACAUAUAUAUAUAUAUAUUAAAAAUUAAAAAUUAUCUUUAUUUAGUUAGGAAAUAAAACCAUUAUAUUUAAAUAGAUUAAUAUUAUUACUAAUUAUAUUCAGAUAACAAAAUUAAUAAAAUAAAAAUAUUUGUUUGAUUUAUCAAUUAUUAUACACACAUAUUUAUAAAUGCAUGCGUAAAUAAAAUUUUAUAGAUUUAGGCCAAGGCGGAUGUACGGUACAGCAGUAUCUUUAUUUAGUUAGGAAAUAAAACCAUUAUAUUUAAAUAGAUUAAUAUUAUUACUAAUUAUAUUCAGAUAACAAAAUUAAUAAAAUAAAAAUAUUUGUUUGAUUUAUCAAUUAUUAUACACACAUAUUUAUAAAUGCAUGCGUAAAUAAAAUUUUAUAGAUUUAUGUCUAUUUAAAUCAUUUGCAUUCUUAUAACAUUUUAAAAAAAGAAAAGAAAAGUGAUUUACCAAAUACAUGUAAUUGUUCUUCAAACUUACAACACUUUUAAAAUAGAAUUUAAUAAAUGUUUAAUUAAUUUUUUCACAGCUGAUUAUUUUUAUGGUAUAACUAACAAUAAUCUAUAAACUUAUGGUAAAUAUUUGUGUGAAUGUUGGUCCAUGUAAAGAAGUAAAAACAACGCAUAUAUCAAGCAAUAAGAUAUCAAAACUCUUAGUAAAAUACAUAUACUAAUGAAAGAAUGACAGCAAUGCAAUAAAUAAGAUUAUAAUAUAAAUUAUUAAAAUUGUAUAUUAAAAAUUGAUGUAUGAAAUUCUUUUUAUUUUAGUGAUAGAUAAUGUGAUAUAUUUGAAUAAUUUGAUUAAAUGAAAAGAAAAAUAACAAGUAUGGUUGUGGAGGAAAUAAACCAUUGAACUGUGGAAUGUUAUUAAUUAUUGCUAUUUCAUUAUGUAACGUCCUGAUAAUAAGUACAGUGUUAUAGUAUAUUGAUGGGUGGUGAUAUUGUCACCCCUUAAAUUGUGUAAAGUCAACCUCAUUUACAAAUUUUUUGAUAUAAAUUAAAAAGUACAUUAGUUUUAAUAAAUUAUAUAUUUAUUGAAUAAACUAGAACCGUUAGGGAGCUGUAAUGUUAGCACUGUUUUAACUUAUUAUAAAAAAAAAAGUUAUGAUUUGAUCAUAACUCUAAUUUAGAAAAGAAAAAAGAGUUGAAUUGCUAACAUACUUAAAAAUAAAAUAAAAACAUUAUUAUUAGAUGAAAAAUUGUAAAACUUAAGGGGGCAUUUGCAAGUCCGCCACUACUCAAUAGAGCAUUAUUCAGUACUCGUUAAUAUAUCUCGAACUUUUAGGUUUUUUUAAUAUAUUUUUAAUACAUUUUCUAGAACAUUUAGAUAAAAAGAGUCAGUACUCCAAUUGAGUUGUGAAUAAACAUUUAGAUAAAAAGAGUCAAUACUCCAAUUGAGUUGUGAAUAAACUCAUGUUAAAAAAAAAAAAACUCAUUUUCACACUUGAAACGAUUAGUAAAUGGGUGAUACGAAUUUAACUUGGUCAAUAAUAUAUACCAUCUUAAGUUAACUUCAACUCAUUGAUCUUCUAUAGGGUUGAUCAGCCUGCCACAAGGCCCACAAAUUAUCACCUCUAAUGCUUUUGCAACAGUCGUUAUAAAUGCUGACAAAAUGAAACUUCUAUAUAUUUUGGUUUUUUUUUAUUUCUAUGAAAUAUAAGGCCCUUAUGGCAAAUUUCCAUCCAGCGUGAAAUUUGCUAGUUUGGCCUUGGUACUGUGGCACAUGCGUCAUGCAUGCGUGGCUGAGAUGCUUCUAAAACUAAUAAAUUAUGAAGAAUUCCAAAUUCGUACCAAAAAUAAGAGAAUAGGAGCUUGUCAUAGGUGUCCGCGGAUCGGAUUUUAUGGGUUAAACAUUAAUUCAUAUUUGAUUCGUGAUUUUGUAGAUUAUAAAUUUUUAAUUUAAUUCAAUUUAUGGAUUAGUGAAACUCAAUACAAAUUCAAUCCAUAUAUAUGCAAAUUAGAUGCGGAUUUAACCCAAUGCAUAUUCAAUCCAUCAUUUGGCGGAUUGAUUUGCAAAUUAAAAGUUUUUAAUUUUGUCCAAUCUAAAAAGUAAUUAAAUUAAAAAAAUCUAAUAUAUAAAUAAUUGAUUAAAUAAAAAAAUCUAAUGUAAAAAUAAUUUUACUACCAAUUAAAUUCAAAAUUGAACAAGAUUUAAAUAAAUUUAGAAUAAUACAUUCAAAAUUUUAAAAUAUAACACACCGAAAAAAAAAUUCAUUUAUUUAGAUCAAUACAUGAAAAUUAACUAAAAUUAUGAAUUUAAAUGUUGAAACUUGAAAGCUUGGAUGUAACAGGAAGAAUUUAAGAAACUUGAAGAGCUUGAAAAGAAAGUAAGAAAUUAAGUUUAAUUACCUCAAGUGGUGAAGUGAAACAGUGAUUGGCUUGUGCGUGCGGUGGGAUAGAGAUUUGGUGUUAUAUGUCAAAAUAUUUUGUUUGGCUUGGGGUUUUUGUUUUGCUUUAGAAAUUUUAAUGUUUAGGAAACUAUAUUUGCUUAUUUAAUUAUUUCUUAUUUUAUAUUGUUAUCGAAUAAAAUAUAAUAUUUUGUUAAUUUAGCUAUAAUUUUAUGCUGAAUAUAUUUAUUUAAAACGAUUUUAUUAAAUAAAUGUGCAUAUUUAACGAAGGUCUCUGAAAUUUCAACCUGCCUGCUAAUGAUAGCCAAUACGGCACGACCCACCAAAUGUCGGCCCACGCGGGCUUGUGGGCCAUGACGACUUUUUUUGUAAGGGCCCGGCACGGCCCACGGCACGAGUCCGUGCCCAAAAAAAGCCCACCUACCUUUUUUUUUUUUGUCCACAUGUUCAGCGUGCCUAAAAAAACCCACGUGCCUGACGUGCUUUUUUAAGCCCACCAGCCUAAUAGUAACAACAACAACAACAAUAAUAAUAAUUUCAUAGAAAUAAUUAAUGAAAAAUAAAAUAACAAUUCUAGAAUAACAAUUACAUCUAAUUUUAUUUGAACAACUAAUAUUAUAAUUGCACAUAAACUCUAUUGAAUGAAAAUGUAAUUUUUAAUUUAUUAUAAAAAUAUUUUGUUCAUAAUUUUAUUUUUUUGUGCGUAAAUAUGAAAAAUAUUUCAUUCACAAAUGAAACAUAUCUCCAUUAACUAUUAACUAAGUUAUGAUUUCAUAAAUGAAAUAUUAAUGUCGUAAAAUUUUUUAUUUAUCAUUUAUAAAAUCAUGAUAUUUAUUUAUCCAUUUAAUAAAUUAUAAACAUAAAAAAAUUAGAAUACUUAUUUAAACUAGGACUUAAAUUAAUUUUAAAAAGCCUAUACUAAAAAAAUAUAUUAAAAUUUUUAAUUUCAAGGUAUUUAUAAAAUCAUGAUAUUUUAUAUUUAUUUUUCAUUAAAAAAUUUUAUUUUGAUAUACUUUGGCCCACGUGCUAUUGGUGGCCCACGGGCCGCGUGCUUAGCCCACCAAUAAAGUGUGCUUAUUACAUGCCUUUUCGCGUGCCGUGUUUUGCCCCAUCUCUAAUCAUACCGUGCUUUUAAGGCCUGCGUGCCUAAAAUUCUAGGCCCGCCAGCCGUGCCGUGCCGUGCCGUGCCUCGUGCCGCCUGGCCCAUUGGCCAUCCCUACUGCCCGCCAACCACAUUUGUCCAAGAUCAAUUUGUAGGAAAAAAAUUUGAAAAUCAAUAAUUUAUUUAAUUAAUUGUUAAUGUAGGCAUUUGAAUCCCCACAAAAUCUGGGUGUCAGUUCUAGACUUCUGGUGAUAUAUUUUUCUAAUUAAGGAAUAAAAUAUUUUUGUCAUUUUUUUAAUAUUUUAAUUUACCAGGCAUAUCAACUAAUUAAUUUUUCUACUUAGACUAUUAAUUCAUUACGUGCGCAAUCUGUAGCCCGGCGCUCCAAUCCCAUGCAUGUUACACACAACUCAAUCAUUAUUUAUUUAUUUAUUUAUUUUGACCAACAACUCAAUGUUUUUUAUAGAGCUGUCAAAAUUUGACACGACCCGAUUACCCGACACGAACACGACAUAAAUAAAUGGGUAUGGGUCGUCAAAUUUAACACGAUUAUUAAAUGGGUCGGGUCCGGGUCAACACGAUUUUUUUCCGUGUCGGGUUUUGGGUUAAAAUUCUUGACCCAUUUACCCGAUCAAUGACCCGAUUAUAUUUUCUAUUUUAAAAUAAUUUACAUAUUCUUAUAAUUAAAACUCAAAUAUUAGAGAUGAUUUUCUUUUUUUUUAUUCUUUAAAAGGGUGAUAUAUUUUAUAAUAUCGAUAAAUUAUGUAUGUAUGUAUUUAUGUACAUACGUAUGUAUGAUAGUGUGGAAAUAUUUUAUGUAACUUUUGUUCAAUAUAUAGAUAUUAAACGGGUUAUUGGGUAACCCGAUUAUUUUUCCGUGUCGGGUUUGGGUCUCAAUAUUUUGACACGAUUAUUAAAUGGGUCGGGUUUGGGUCGACCUAAAUUUGACACGACACGAAACUGACACGACAUGAACACGACCCGAUGACCCGUUUUGCCAGCUCUAGUUUUUUAAUAUGAAAAGGUAUUGGUUAGCUUUGUCUUUAGUUUUUUCAACUUAUAAUAAGUUUGUAUUAAGGCUCCCUUUGGUACAGAUUUUCAAGUAAAACUUAUUUAGGGUUAUUUUUAGGGACCUCCCCUGAGGUUUGGUGUAUUAACAAUCUGAUAGAAAGUAUUCACGUAAUUACAAAGACCUCCCCUGACAUUUGUAUUAUGUUAAGUGGACUGUUAUUGACUAUUGAAAAUCCAAAAAUACCCUUCCUGCCAAAAUAUUUCUUUAUUCACUGAUGAACUGAUGGGUAAUUCGUGCCAAAAUCACAAAUUACUUAAGAAGAUGAAAAUAUCCAUUGGAUAAAAAAAAUGAAAUUGCUUAAUAAAAAAAUUGACAUUGCAUAAUAAUAAAAAAAAUUGAAAUAAUGUGCGGCGGCAUAGCUGCAUCUUGCAUGCAUAUUAUUAUUGUGAUUUUUUUAUUACAAACUCCAUCCUGCAUGCUUAUUAUUAUUGUGAUUUUUUUUAUUACAAACUACUUCAUAACUAAUACAUGCCACAAGAGCAGAGCUAUUAAAAGAAAUGAUUUUCAUAUUGUAAACUUGAUAGUACAGGUGUUGGCACCGACCAUAAAACCCUUAUGAUACCAAUCUUUGCUCCAUCCAUAUUUAAAUCCAGAUCAAGUAAAUAUUAAAUUGGAUUUCAGGUCCUGAAAAUCCCACUCUAUAAUUGAUAUCUUCGAGUUUUGUUGGUGCCUCAAACCUGGAUCUAGAGCAUCAUCUCUGUCAUACUCGGAACACCUAAACUAAUGGACUUGCUGCAGCUGCUUAUUCUUCUUCUGAAAUGAUGCACGCAGAUAGAUUACAGACUUUGAAAUAAGAAAUACAAUAAACAACAUGUAAUCGAACUUAAGAUUUCGGCAAACUUGUUUGAAAAUUAGAAUCAAACAAGGAAAAUGGCAAGUCAAUAUUUUUUAAUCUAGAAAAAGGGCAAUUUCAAAGUUUAUCACAUGCCAAAUUCAUAGUCUUGCAUCCACUAUUUUCUAGUUUGAAUAACAAACAAAAGCCUUAGACAAAAACACAGAGAACAUCUCACAUGGGAGCAAAAAUUGUGUGUAGAACAAUAUACUUAAGUUACAUGUGAUUACAAUCACAUUAUUUAGCAAAUACAAAAUUACCUUCUCAAAAAAAAAAAAAAAAAAAAAAACACCACCAAAUUAUUGAAGGUAUUACAACAAUAAGGCAAAAGAACACCAAAGGCAUGCACAAACCGAAACUAACACACAACUCAAUUAGUGUCAUGACCCCAAACUGAACAAUCAUAUAAACCAUUGUGGGCUCUCUAAAAGAUUAUCACAUUAUAAGCAAACAGAAACCUAUAUUUGAUGAACUACAUCUAGUACUUACACAACUCUUAAAUCAUUAGGAAAUUGCUCUUAUCAGUCAUUACCCAAUAGUUUUUUUCAACUCAACACUAACAACCCCAAAGAGAAACAACAUCCAGCACCAUUUUCAUUAAUUAAAACAGACCCAUUGUUAUUUUUAAUCAAUAAAAUAACAACAAUAUCGUGUAAGCCACUGAUUCAAGCAUUCAAGCUGUGUUUUCGAAGACUGACCUCUUCUUGCUAUCUAAUUCCAGUCACGAUAGACGCUAGAUGCCGGCAAUACUCGCUUCUUGGAAGCUCUGGACCACCGCACGACGUCAUCUUGUGCAGUAGAUGAAAAUAAAUCAAUGAUUUCAGAAAUUAUUUGUGAGUUGCAGACGCUUCUUCUCCAUGGAUGAAAAUGAUGGUGGGUUUUGUUCAAGUGUAAGCUGUGUUUACGAGGAGAAGUACACUUUGUGAAAAAAUCAUUUUCUUUCAUCUACUGGAUAAUGACUUUGGACUGGGUAAUGGUGUGUUUAAGUCUCUAUUUCACGGACAUUGAAGCAUAUUUUGCUUGAAUUUUGAUUUUGUUUAAAUUUCAAGUUUACUUUUACUUGUUUACCCUUUUAUACUGACGCUUAUGUAUUUUUAUACUAACGUUAAGGGAGGUCUUUGUAAUUAUAUGAAUACUUUCUAUCAGACUGUUAAUACAACAAACCUCAGGGGAGGUCCCUAAAAAUAACCCAACUUAUUUAAAUAGAACUUUUACAAAAAAAAAUUUAGUUAUUUGGUUGUCAAUAAACUUUUCAAGUAUACUUUGUUUGGUACAGCUUUUCAAGUAAAACUUAUUUAAGUAGAGCUUUUACAAAAAAAAAAAAAUUAGUUGUUUGGUUGUCAAUAAAAAUUUUUAUUAAAAAAAAUAUGAAAUUACUUUAUUAGUCAAGUUUUUUUAAAGUUAUGCUAUGAAAAGAAUAAAAUAAGAUUGUCAAAUAAAUAGAAAAUAUUUUAAAUAUUUUAACAUUUAAAAAAACUUUUUAACCUUUAUUUUCAAAAAUCUAAAAUUUAAACUUUUACUAGUAAAGGCAAAAUAAUUUAUUUAAACUUCAAAAGCUUUAUUAGAAAAAUAAUCAAACAAUAACAAAAAUUAUUAUAAAAGCUUAUCGAAUUAAAUAAGUACUUAUAGUUAUUAAAGAAGUUAUAUCUAACAGACACUAAUGCCGAAAGCCCCUUCUAAUUGUGGGUGUAAAAGUUUGAAUUAUGCAUACGGUUAAGGAGUUAAGGUGUGUUUGGCAACUGCAUUAAGUGGAAAUUUUUAUUUUGUUUCGAAUAAAAAUACAGCAAGCUCGUGUUCGGCUCAAAAUAAUGGAACGUUUAAUUUGCAACCGUCGGCGGACGAAGCACACCGUUCACGGCCCUUCGUAUAAAAUUGCAUAUGUAAACGUAAAUAGGUCCGGAUUCAGAUUCGUUGCUGUAGAGAGUGGCACGCACGAUCGGGCUGCUGUCGGUGGUAGGUUGGCAUUGGAAUUCUCAUCACGCGCUUCCCCAGGCGCCUACUUAUGGCAAAUUGACACGUGACGCGUGUGGAUUGAAUGGACAGAGUCCCGGGCAGUGUGUCCAAAGCUGCCAACCGUGCUCUGAUUUUUGUCAUCCAUAAUGGCUAACGACUAACGAGGGAGAUUUCCGGGCAGAAAGAAAUUGUUGUCGUUUCUGAAGGGGAAAAAAAAGUUAUUUAAUUUGUUGUUGAAGACAAAAUGAAGAUCUAAAUAAAUAAUGGCUAAUUUUGAGUGUAAAGCAACGGUAAAUGCAUUAUUAAAUUAGAUUUAGGGUCUGAUUGAGAUUAUUUUUAGAUUUAAAAUUAAUUUUGAAAAGUUAAAAUUAAUUUUGAUGUUUAUUAAUUUUUAUUAAAAAUUAUUUUUGUCAAAAUCUCUCAUCCUCCAGCAUAUUAUAAAAAAUAAGGAAGAAAUAAUUUUUUAAAAUUUAAUUUUAAGAAUCAGUUUUAUACUUAAUAUAAUCCACAUAUAUCCUCGUAAAUAUUAUAAAAAUUUAAAAUUAUUCUUAUUUAUUUAGGAUAUAAAAUUAUUAAAUUCAAACAUAUUAUUAUUAUUAUUAUUAUUGUUAUUAUUAUUAUUAUUAUUAUAAAUUCACACACGCACACACAUACUUAUAAAUUUAUAAAUAAACUUUAUUUAACAUUUUGUUCACUUAAAUCAUUUAUAUUCUUAUAGCAGUUUAACAUUAUGAUUUACCAAACACAGAUAAUUAUUUUUAAAAUCCAUAAUAUUUUUUAAAAUAAAUUUUAAUAAAUGUUUAACUUAUUAUUCUGACAACUGAUUUUUUUUGUAAGGUAUAACCAUUAAUAAUAAAUAUUUUAAAAGUUACAGUAUCCCCAAAUUGGCCCUUACUAAUACUCUGCGUUGCCAACUAAAUACUAAUUGUAACAUUAAACAUCUGGAAUAUUUUUCUCUAACGAAACAACACAAUUAAUUUCCCUCUAAAAAAGAAAAAGAAAAAGAAAAAAUAAACUACCAACCCCACCCCUUUAGACAGCAGAGUUUUAGCUGAGGCGGCUUGCUUGCAUAAGCAUUAAGGCUGCUCUUCACCAACCAUUGAACAUUCUUUCCAUUUGAUUGUUACACUUUACUUCGCCAUCUCAUGUCCAUGUACAUUGUUUUGAAAUGAAGACUUUGCGUACAACUAAUCUUUUUCAAUUCAUAAUAAAAACUCUUUUAAUUAGUUAAUAGCUAUAGCUUCCAAUUGAGACUAUAUAUAAAAAUCCAUAUUGACUGACCAAACCAAUAAUUUUUAAUUGGCUUGAGCAUUGUCUUACUUACUUCAAAAUCGUCACUCUCUUUGAAAAGAACAUGAGAGAGUUCACCUCCAUCUCAACCCUUAACCCUAUAUCUCAGUCAAGAGAUUAUUCAUGGAAAAUUCAGAAAAAAGAAAUGUUGCAAUAUUUACGAAACUCACGUCACGUGAGGUAAGAUAAAUUAUUCCUUUCUGCUUUAAUUCAUGUACAUAAUCAUGAGAAUAACUUUAAUUAUAGUUUAUUUCUCCGUUUUAAGAUUUUUCCUUUUUUUUUUUUAAUUAAUUAAUUAUAGUUCAUUCAUUAAUCCCAUAAGAAAUUAACACCUUUGCCGGUAAAGUCACACAUACAACAAUAUUUUAGAACAAAAGGGAAGAUCAUGCACGAUCAUGAUGUUUUAUUAUAUCUCUAGCAAUAUAAUUAUCUUAUAAUUAAUUAAAAACAAAACAGGUAAUUAAGCCAAAGUGGAUGGCAUGCAUCAAUCAUCAUGCAGAACACCUCCCCUUGUUUUAAAUAUAAAUAAAAGAAAUUUGUGCCCAGAAGACUUAAUUAAUACUUCUCGUUUCUGAAGUGCUCACAUGAUAUAUAGUCGGACGCAUUAUAUUUAAUUUCAUGAAUUAAUCGUACGGUUGUAUUUUGAGAGAGAGAGAGAGAGAGAGAGUGACUGAGUAAGAUAUGGCUUAAUUUAACCAAAUCUACGUAUAAAAUUUUAAAAUGAAUUUUUGAGUUUUAACUUAGGAAUUGUCUAUGAAUAAAAGUGUUAAUCAAAUAUUUCGUGUAAAAACAGUCAGCUGUAACAUUUUCGGUUGCUUUAACAAAACUGUAUAUUUCUGUAAUUUCCUAUAUGGGCCAAAAGGAACAUUUUUCUCAGAAAUUAAAAACUUAUGGUGAAAAAGAUAAGAAAACCAACAGGUUCAAAGGUGCGAGUAAACUGGGCUCUGGUGCGCCCAACUCCCUCUUUUGAUUUUGAGACUCUAUUGACCAUUGAGUUUGAGGCCCCAACGGCCCAGUUUAAAACUGUUAUGAAAAGAAAAAAAAUAUAACUAUAAAAUUAAAAUUAAUAAUGUUUGAUAAAUAUAAUUUUUAAAUAAUAAUUUGACAAAAAUAAUAUAGGGUCUUGUGUAUAUUUUUAUUUGGCAUUUCAAUUAAUCUGCUUAUAUAUAUAUAUAUAUAAGUUAAUCUAUAUUUCUUGCAAGAAGAUAGUAUUUCUUUAAUUAAAGUCAUAACUAAUAUAUAAAUUAUCAACUAACCAUCAAACAUUUAUCUCAUUUUAUCUCCACCACGAUCAUCACCAUUCAUCCUGUCACGAUCUUUAUGUAACUACAAUUAUUUUUUCUUUAAUAAUGUCAACCCACCAACCCCAUAACAAUAUCUCCAAACAUCUCAUCUCAAAAUUCCUAAUAACAUAAGUGUUUAUGUAUGAAAGAAAAUGUGAAAUAUAUAAUCAAAAAGUAGUUUAAUAAUAUAAUGUUUAAAAAUUAUGGUAAAAAUAAGUGAGAGUUUGGCAUGGCAAGUUAAUAAAAAGAUAAAAGCUCGGACACUUGAUGCAUCAAAGUAGCAAUGUCUGUCCAUCAUUAUCAUCAUGCGGGUUUAGGUGCUUCUCAUGAUAGCAUUAGCUGGUAAGACCAUCAUGCAUCGUACUUUCAUUGUUAUACAUUUUGAAGGUAAGAAUGGUUAUGUUACGUCCCUCCGAUUAGGUGUAUUUUUCUUCUUCUUCUUCUUCUUUUUCUUCUUCUUGUACGUAAUAAUUUCUCUUUCUUCCAUGAAGAUUUCUUUCUCUCUUUCUUUUUUUUUUUUUUAUUAUAAAUAAAAUGAUAAGAACUAAUUUCCUUACUAAUUGGUAGGGUCGUUUAAUGGUUCAGAUCCAUUAGAUUUUGUCAAAUUCAAGUCCAAUCCAUCAUAUAUUCCAUUUUAUAUUCCGGAUCCGAUCACUAAUAGAAAUCCAUUAUAAUUUAAAACAAUAAAACGUCGAAUCCAAUUUAAUUCGAUAUGAUCAAUCCAAUUAAAAUAAAAAUUUACAAAUAAAAAUCAUUAGUUGCUCUCUCCAGUUAUAAUUCUUAACAAUUAAAAAAAAUACAAAAUAUCAACUCCUUUAAUAUUUCAUGAUUCAUGUACUUUAUUAUCAUAUGGUUGGAAAAAAAAGUUGAAAUUUGAAUAUUAAAAGCAAAUGUUGGUUGCGACCUGCUGUUUGUAUUCUAUAUUGUUAUAGUAUAUUUAUAGUUAUUUUUUUAGCAAGUUAAAUAUAAAAGUGACAUAUAGUUUUUUUUUAUAAAAAAAAAUAAAUAAAGAAAAUAAAAAAUUAAUUGGUUGGAUUGGUUUAUAUUGGAUUUGAACAUAUAGAUCCAUAGACCAAUCUAAUAACAUUAUAUUUUUUAUUUUGCAAUCUUAUCCAAUCCAAUCAAAAUGUCAAUAUGACAAAAGUUGGAUUGGUUUUGAUCAGAUCGAUUGGUUUGAUUGGAUUGAAUUGAAUUAGAUCUUGAACAUCCUACCAAUUAGACUUUCCGUGAUUUUUUUUUUUCCAAAUUUAAUAAAGAGACUUCCCAUGAAUGUUAAAUGCAGUUUUAUUGAUGAAUUCUGCAAUUUUAAGAAAUGUUUGAUACACGAAUAAUGCAUCUCAUCAACCAAGUAACUGCGUCCCCUGCAGCAGCCGCGGCUUCAACUGGAAUACUGCAGCCACACCGGUCUUGAGACUCAACAUUCGGCCGAAACUCAAGCAAAAGUUGAACAAUAUCAGGCCUGCUUUGAGCUAUAGCAAUAUGAAGCAAUGUUUGUCCCUGCGCACCAGCAGAAUCAGCUGGGUGGGUUCCAAGCAGGGUCACUCUGUUCAAGAACCUCUCUUAUCUCAUCCAUUUCACCAUCCUUAACUAGCUGAACCACAACAUGGGACCCAACAAACAUGAUCUUGAUUCCUAUUGAUGAACGCUGGCUUCUUCCUUCUUGUGAACCAGUCACCAGGAACCGAAUCAAGCAUCAAUGUUGCAUCUUUAAUUGCAGCUGCAGGAACGACAACGCUAUGCAAGAGGAAGGAAUCAUCACAGUGAGGGAAAGUAUGAAGGAGAACUGAUCCUGGAGGAAGAUGAUACGCAAUCUCUAUGCUUACUGUUCCGAGUGGUUGCAUUGACCUGAAUAGUUCGAUCUAUUUCUCGUGUAUCUACUUGCGCUGCACUUUCACUCGAAGAACCUACAAAAUUAUUCAUAACCCGGCAUAAAAAAGACGUAAAGUUUUCAGCGCGAGCAUGGUAACUUCAAAACCCGUUUCAUACCUAUCAUAUUUCAUUCGUCCCGCACCCUCAUUUAAAAGACUAGAGCUUAUAAAAACUAGAAGUACCUUACCCAGAACAUAAAAGCAGACAAAACCCAGUCGAGUAUAAAUAUAACGUUGAAUAACACCUACCAUUUACCAUUUCAUUCAAGAACACCACACAAUUAACGAAACCAACAUCGGUAUGUUUUCAGCCGUUGUACUUUCAACUUAAUUUUGAAAGCGCGGCAGCUAAAGCCUAAACUGUUGUUUGAUAAAAGUCCACCCACUGACUGCUACCUGGCGGCUACCGAUUCCAUUCAAUAGCAGUCAUAAAAUAAAAAGUACAAAACAAACCUAUGUACAAAAAAGGCAAUGAAGCAGCCAUGGAUUCAGUUAUUUGCAUGUUUGGGAUUGUGGUUGAUUCCAAAUUGAGAAUAUACUGCGAAAUUAUGUUUGAUAAGCAUUUAUCUGAUGAUUGCUACUUUAUUGAGUGCCUGUUUGGUAUGGCUUAUUUAAAAGCCAUAAGUGCUUAUUUAAUCGUAUAAGCACUUUUUUAAAAUUUUUAUGGUGUUUGGUUAUUUUUUUAGUAGAGUUUUUUUAGCUUAAAUAAGCUAAUUUACCUCUACUAGCAAAAGCCCAAAAUUUGAGCUUUUGGGAGUAGAGGUUAAAGAGCUUAUCUAAAAAAUAUAUAAUAAAAAAAAUAUCAUACAGUUUAAUGAUUCAAAAGUGUUUUUUUUAUUGACAACCAAACACCCAAUGACUUUUUGUCCAAAAACUCUAUUGGUAUAAGCUCUACUGCUAUAAGCUCUAUUGUUAUAAGCUCUAUUUAAUAAGCUGUACCAAACGGAGCCUAAAGCAUUCAUUUUUUUUUUUCGCGUUUGGCCUCUUCACUUUUUAAAAAAUUUUAUGGUGUUUGGUUAUUUUUUUAGUAGAGUUUUUUUAGCUUAAAUAAGCUAAUUUACCUCUACUAGCAAAAGCCCAAAAUUUGAGCUUUUGGGAGUAGAGGUUAAAGAGCUUAUCUAAAAAAUAUAUAAUAAAAAAAAUAUCAUACAGUUUAAUGAUUCAAAAGUGUUUUUUUUAUUGACAACCAAACACCCAAUGACUUUUUGUCCAAAAACUCUAUUGGUAUAAGCUCUAUUGUUAUAAGCUCUAUUUAAUAAGCUGUACCAAACGGAGCCUGAGUCUUCAAAGAAAAACUCAAUCAACUAAUGCUCGAUUUUUUUUUUUAAAUGACAAAUCAAAAAGUAUUUUGGAGUAGAUUCUCAAAAGAGUGAUUAUUUGAUAAUCCACCAUAAUCCCACUUAGUUAUCAGAAAUAAAUUAAAAUCCGACGAAUGUUACUUAAGCCAAACAGCAUUAUUUUAUUUUGACCACAAGGACCACAACCCUCAAGCUGUCAAGCAACCGUUACCGUUAACGACCAAUCUUUCACCUCUCCGAAUCUUUGCAAGUCACUAUCAAGCAACCGUUACUAAUAUUUAAUCAAUUAUUAGGAUUAUUGGAUUUCUCAAAUACCUUAUGUACUUUGGUUCACUUUCUACUAAAAUAAAUAUUACAGGAGCUUUCAAAGUCUAGGCUAAGGUUGUUGUAAACAUAGAGAGAUUCAGAGAUAUAACAGCUUGUAAUUACAUACCACAAAGCAUAACUUUGUUCGAAUGAUAAUGAUCAUAAUCCAGAUUAUAGACGUAGAGAGAGGAGAAGUCGUACUUGAGGGGCAAAACGCGGCGUUUUGGCUCGUGGAUGAGGUGCUGCUCCUGAUCGUCGUAGAUUGAAGGGAGGAGAGGUCGGUCGAGGAAGUUUAGGAGACGGUGGAGGCUGAAUUGGUGAAUUUCGAUGAAGACUGACGAAUCCAAUGGGGCUUGAGGGUUUGAUUUGCAAAGAUGAAAGAUAAGAGCAUUGUUUUGGUUUCUGUGCAAAAAAAAAAAAAAAAAACAUGACAAGCGUUGUUUUGGUUUUGGUUCUAAAAAGAUGAAAAUUUGACUGCAAUGGAUCCAUACGCAGUCGGUGUCAAAUAAGAGGAGAAACAAAUAUGUUAAUCACUCGCUCAAUCACUCAUGCGAAGUGCCUUUUUUUUCGUUGCUUUGGCUUCUGAGAAAUAUAUGCAUCAGAUAUUACAACUCUCGAGGAUAAUGCAUUUUGUUCCGGUUUUGACUGAUAUUUAGUGGCAUUUGAUAAACUGAUACCUCAGAACCUGGUAGAGAGUUUAUUAAAUACAAAGAGAACAAAAAUAUAUGACUAUAUAAGCUUUUACACGGUUGAAGAUCCGGUCAAAUUGGCUUUAGUUAGCAAGAUCAUUUAAAACUUUCAAAAAACGAAUGGUAUCAAAAAGCUCUGAGAAAAAGCGGAAAAAAGGCACCACAAAGAUCUUGCAAUUAUUAUCACAGCUUGAUAAGACAUGGAAAUGUAUCUUACAAAUUGGCCUUCCAAGCAUCAAAGAAUUGGGUGGCGACAACUCCCAUUCCUAGCUGCUACCGUGGCCAGUCCCUUCUAACUAAAAUGGGACAGGACCAAAAGCAAGGUCUCUCCCACUCUCCUUAUGUAUAUAAAAUUCCCUACAUUCGAAUAAAACUACAGAAAAAGAUUUGCACAUCAUCUUCUUUCACCUUAUUUUGCAAUCUUCAAGAGUUUGGAAGAUUUCAAAGCACUUGUUAGAAUGUAGCACUCCAUUAAGCAUUCUCACCUUCCCCACACCCCAAUGGACCUCCUUAAUCCUAUCGGCAGACCUACAAAUUCUGCUGCAACUCCAAUCAAAUAAAGCAACACAAUUGUUGCCUGCCUAAGCCUUCCACUCACAGCCUGCAAUGACAAGUUCAUGAUACAAAAUCAGAAACAUUAAUAAACAAAAAGAUAUUACCAUUACUUGCAGAGGGGGAUUUGUUGCAAUUAGUAAAUGCCAUACUUAUCACUUUCAUUGCAGAUAUCAUCAUCAUCAUAAUACUAGCAAUCCAGCACUAAUAGUCAGAAUAAUAAUAAUAGUAGCAUGAAUAAAGAAUUUCUGCAGAGUAAGCUCUAAAGAUGCCGAAAGUGUCAUCUAUUAUGUUAAUAAUAAAAAAGUCUAUCAAGAAUUCAAGGAAAGAAAACUCAUUAACAAAGAACUAAACUUUUUAAUAAUGUUUAAUAAACUACGUACCUAUGAUUUUCUAUUAUUAACAUAAAUGACACUACGUACAACUGAUUUUCGCUUUCUAAUGUUUCAAAUCAUACCGAGAAAUAUAACAAUUACCAAGUCAGUAAGUAGCACAAUUACUUAAUAAGACUUUGACUUGUCUAACCCAAAAUUGUACCCAAUUCUAUACUCUACCAUGAAAAGCUUAUGAAGCCGAACUUACUUUGACCAAACAGUACUAUUAGCUCAGUUAAAGGAAACCACAAUUGAACAAAGUUCAGCUGAAAUAACUGAACUAAAAAAACUUGAUAAAAUUAAAAGUAACUUAUAACAGUUUAGUAAAGAAGCAUACAAAACAUGAAGAUAAAUAAACAUAGGUCUAUUUUCUUGACACUACCAGGUCCUUUCCUUUUUUUUUUUUCAGAUAAGAUCUCGAUACUACCAAGUUUUGGAUUCAAAAUCACCAUAUUACAAUAAUAGUUGUGAUUCAUGGGAUACAAUAUGUAGCAGCUUAUAUGUCGGCAAUUAUAGUCAAAGAUGGUUGUCAAACAUCAUCGCAAAUCAAGAAGCUAAUAAAGACCAUGUCACACUACAUUAACAUAUAUCAGUUCUUUGAUACAAAGAUAUUGAAUGUUAUACAUUUCUAAUCCCAAGUCCUGAAAUACAAAACAAAAGUUCACUUCACACAGUCAUAAAGCUAGACUGCUAGAUAAAUGGACAAUAGGCAUUGGAUAUGGGUCAAUAAACUAUUAAGCUAAUUAAUGCACACGAAGGAAUCCGUUAGAGCUAGUAAAAUAGCCCUUACCAGAGAACUCGCAGAAGCAUUCAAUUUCCUCAAAGGAGAUAACUUACAACAUAAACAUUUUGAUAAGCAGCAACACACAUAAAAUAGCUUCACUCACUAGCAACAGAGCAACUUCUUCAACACAUUAAUAAAUCCAUUUUCAUUUUUAAACAACAAAAUAAUGCCCAGUUUCUCCAGCACAAAUAGGGUAAGCAGUAAUAGAAAAACAUGAUACAUAGGAAUUACCGGCCUCAAGAAAUCUCCAAGCUUUCUGUCCUCUGCUUCAAUUGCUCAAUCAAGAAUGCCCCAGACGUUGCGCUAGCGUGGUGGUGGAGCGUCGCGAAGCGUGUGGCGGCGGUGUCGGCGAAGGCAGGUCAUGAAGAUAGUUGGUGUCGCGCAGCGAAGGCAGUGCAGCUGGUGUCAUGCGGCGAAGGCAAAUCGCGUGGUGGUGGAGUUGGGGUCGCGCGGCAGUGGCGGUGCGGUGCUGAGGCAUAAUAGUGGCGGUGGCGUUGUGCGACAGUGGCAGUGUGGAGGCAGAUUGCGUGGAGCUGGCGGUGUUGAGGCAGAUCGCGUGGAGGCAGAUGCCGCGGUGGUGGAGUUGCUGUCGCGAUCAACGCCUGUGAAAGGGAAUGAAAGUGAAGGAGAUACCUACAAAAGAAAGAACGAGUGAAAUUUUUUUUUUUGUUCAAGGGUUUCAAACCCACAUAAACCCGACUCUCACACGGGUUCAGUAAGUUUAUGCGGGUUUGACUGCAUUACAAAUUGGUAUGACCACAACAACAGUACAAUGAUUGGUAAUUACCAAACAUGCUAUUUAUGUUGGUAUUAAAUUAAUUUAAUACAAUGAGGAGUGGUAAUAUCAUACAAUGAGGACUGUUAAAUAUGGUGUGUUUAAUAUGUUGUAUUGUAUUAUAUUAUUUUAAUACAAAUAUAUUAUAUUAUCUUGUAUUAUAAUAUAAAAUAAUGAAAAAUAUCGAAUUUCAAUAUAUAAAAAAAAAAUAAAUAUAUUUUGUUAUAUUCGAUCUGCUGUACGGCCAAGGCGGAUGUACGGUACAGCAGAUAAGAAUUUAAAUACAUACACUUAUAAUACAACUUAGUUUUUCCACAUUGUCGAGGGAUCAAAACAACCCAUCAUUGGAGUCCAAUAAGUUAUGUGGCGACACAAAAAAGUAAUUCUAUAUUUUUUACGUCAUAAAUAUGUAAAAAAAAUUGUAUUAUAUCUUAUUAUUAUUAGUUUUUUUUCUUCAGUUUUGACAAGUAUAGUUUUCUUGUUGAGUGGCUCAACAAGGCUGGUUACAAUUUCGAAAUAAUGUUCCAUCUGUAUCUGUUUUCCUUUUGUUUUUGAUUUUGUAGUAUAGUUAAUUUGUACGAAUUUGUUGCCUGGUUGGUUUUUAUGCUGAAAAGUCAGUUCAUUGGAAAUGACAGAAAAUUGUUUUUCUUUUUCAUUUUUACAGAAAGAGAUUUGCAACGUUAUAAAAGUAAGAGAUCCUAAGAGAUCCCUGAAUCAUAUUAAAUAUUAAACUUAAGAUACAGUCAAGGCUUUUAUUAUGUUACUAAUCAUGUAACGAAUAUAAUUAUGUAGCAGUCGUUAAAUACAAAUUUAACAGUUAUAAAAAUAACAUGAUUUUAUUAUCUUAUAUUUCUAUAAUCGUUGAAUUUUUAUCUGCUGUACCGUACAUCCGCCUUGGCCGUACAGCAGUAUUGAAUUUUAAAAAUUUAAUAUUAUUUUUUUAAUAUAAAUAUUAAAAAAUAUCAUAAUUCUUCAUAGAAAUCGAAGUUCAUGGCAUUAAAUUUUUAACGCCGCAUACAUAAUAAAAAAUUUGAUUCUCUAGUGCCAAUAUAAUAGAAUACAUAAAAACGAGACUGAGAAACUACGAAUAAAGCUCAUCAUCAAGGACUCCACAACAUUAUAAGAAGUACUAUGUAACAUUUGCCAAAUUACAACACCACAUCAAGACAUAUCACAAUGUAAAAUUUUUCCUAGAGAUUUGGUAAUUGAAAAACACAAUUCAAGUUGAAAACUGAUAGUCGACUUGAAAAGUUUUAACAUAUCCCAUAAAAGAAAUGUGCCAUGCCAAAAAUCCUAACCCUUGGCUCUUUGACGAUAAGAAAAUAUUGAAAAUUCCAAAGUACAGUGCAAUGGGAGAAAGAAUGCCUAUAAAGCUAGUAAAGAUAUUCUUAAACUACUAUUGGGAUGUUGGGCUGGUUGGUAGCAAAACCCAAACCCUGCUGCUGAUUUCCGAUACCACCAUCUUGGAUAAGCCGCUCUCCCUCCUCUUCCUAACUCCUAAGCCCAAUAUCUUUCCAAAACCUUCACAACCCACUCAUAAAUCUCAUUGUUGUCGUGGAUAUGCAAAUUCUCAAUCUUUUCUACUCCAUCACACUCAUCAAUCAUUUGGGUAUAAACAUUAACCCAAUUAUCCAUUCCUAUUUCCUUGUUAACCUCACCCACCUUGAAAAUGUUCUCAAGACCCUAUAGACAAACUGUGACGAUCCUUUGGUCCAGACAAACCAGAAGAUCACAGAGCGGUUUGAUGCAACCUUGGCUCACCAGGAAUCUGCAGGACCAUGGUACCAUAAGUGAUUCUAUCACAUGAACAUCAUUAGAUUAAAAAAAGAAAAAAAAAAGAAACAUCUAUCGUAUGAACAUUGCUGAGUGAAUAAAAGAAACAUACUGAAUAUGUUCAUGAGAUCCUCCAUAUGUGGCAUUUAAGACAGGCCAUGCAGCCUCCUUGAUUUCAAGUUCUGCAUGUUGAAGAAGAGGUGCACAAAAGGAAGGAUAAGGAAGGAUGAUAUUGGCCUCCAUAACAGCCUGUUGAACAAAAAUUCGACAAAUUAUAAUUAUGAGUAUAUUUAAGUAGCAAUUUUGUCAGAAUUAACUAGACUUGACUAUUGAGGAAGUCACAUUCAAAAAUAGAAAAGACGAGCAAGCAAUUGUAUUCAUGCUAUCGGGACCAAAAUACUAUGAUGCAAGCAAGAAAGAAAAACAUACAUACAUAUAAAACACUAUCUUUGAGUUGGGUAUUUUCUUUCAAUUUUGAUAAUGGCAACUUUGGAUUCUUCUGCUGAAUUACCACCACCACCACACCAUUGUAGUUUCACAUACUAAGAAAAGGCAGGUUCAGCUCCCGUGCAUGCCCAUAAGAAUAUGAUGUAUUAAUUAGAAGUAAAAUUAAUCUGUUCAAUUAAGUUCUCUCAUAUAUUUGUGUGCGUGUGUGUGUUAAUUAGUUUGCUUUCAAAUCUUUUCUCCCUUCUUAAUGAUAUAUAUUUUAAGCAUGAUAUCAACCACGAUGAAUUUAUUAGCCGAUUUUUAAUUAUACAUUCAGCAUGAUAUCACAAACCAAGAGCUUAAGUUAGCCUAAUUCUUCAUAAAUCUAAUAAUUGCAAUCAAUAAUAAUGCUGAAAAUACGAGUUUGAAUUAAGCUAGCAACUGGUUCUUAAAUUAUGCAAUAUGUAAUCAUAGGUUUACUUAAAGAUUAAAGCAUUUCUGCAAUCCAUUGUGCAAAAAGAUUAAAAAAAAAAAAAAUAGUUGCCAAAUUUUAUCUAAAUAAAAAUUCCUUUAGUGGUUAGUACUUGUGAAUUAUAGAAAUUAUUAUUAGUACUUGCUCAGCGCUUUUUAGAUUUGUACAGGUAGAUUACGCCAUUUCAAACCCGACCAUCCAUUUAGACAUACAAAUCCCCCCAAUUCCCUGUCCUCCGCCUUUACGCGACUCUCCACUGUAUGUGCCAACUAAUUAAUUUUUUAAUUACUUGUUUAACUAAUUAAUUCAUUUUCUCAAAAGCAAGAUUAAUCUAUUUGUUCAAAUCUGAAGGAGAUUAAGUUAAUUGAUUUUAUUGUAUGUAAAAAUAUACAAAGAACUCAUGAAGCCAACUAGAAAAAAAAAAAAAGACAAAAAAAAAAUCAAACCCAGAAAUAAAAAGACAUGCUUCGACAGAAAAUUAAUGAAAAUUAUACUGAUUGUGGUUCAAUUUGAUCAAACCCAAAUAAUAACCGGUUUGAUUGAUGACUCAGCGGCAAAGUGCAGGCGCAUCAGUGGUUGCACAGAUGAGUGUUCUCGUGCGGCACGACAAAGCAAUUGUCGGCGAUUGUGAUUGGUGAUGACAUCGAGCGAUGGGGGUAAUGGCAUCGGUCGUGACUUUGUGAUGGAGAAACGAAUGUUAGAUUCGUUCGAAGAUUCGUGUUUUGAUUGAAUAACAAAGAGAGAUUUUAUGAGUUUUAAUUAUCUAAUACGAUACCGCAUAAACCCGACUCGUACGUGGGUUUAUUUUAUGCGGGUUUCGGUGUACUAAAGCAGUAAAUUUAUGUGGUGCAAUUCAAACUGAUUUCACCGCCAAAAGAUCGUGUAAAUUUAAUAUUAUACAGGGUUUUAAUACUAUGUAAUCCAAUACACCAAACAUGCCCUUAAAAACGGAUAGCAAUCCGGGGCCUUUAAAAACGGAAAAUACAAGCAGAGAAAAAGAAAAGCCAAUUGUUCAAAAGUGCCUAAUAUGCCCACGGAAAAUUUUCGUCACGACCCACAGUUACUCGAAUAGGUAAUAAGACAGGAAUGCCUUUGUUUGUUCGAAUAUAGAAGCACAAUGGCUCAGAAAGGAUCCCUCCAAUCUCCUUGGCACUGUCAGCUGGGUGCGGAGUAGCUUGGUGGCAGCAACCAUGUUUGAGAGGGCUGGCUUCACCUCAGUGUACUUGCGAGUCUUGAGACCACAGUCAGGGUUAACCCACAAAAUGUUGGUUUCUAGCACAGUACGCAUCUCGUAGAUUCUGUCAACAAUUUCUUCGGUUGAUGGUAUUCUUGGAGAGUGGAUGUCAUAGACGCCAGGGCCAAUUGCAGCAUCAUACUGGACUCCCUCACGGAAGACUGACAGGAGAUUCUCAUUAGAACGAGAGUUCUCAAUGGUGAUCACAUCAGCAUCCAUGUCGAUAAUUGAGUGGAUAAUGUCGUUGAAGUUGGAGUAGCACAUGUGGGUGUGGAUCUGUCAAUCAAUAAACAAUAGAAUGAGAUACAAAAUCAACAGCUAAAUUAAAGAGAUGAGAUUGGAGAUUAAAAGGGUAACUGACCUGGGUAGUGUCCUGGAUGCCACAGUUGGUGAUUCUGAAGGAGUGGACUGCCCAGUCCAAGUAGAAAGCAUGCUCAGAUUUCCUGAGAGGCAAUCCUUCCCUCAAGGCAGCCUCAUCAAUUUGAAUAACGUUAAUGCCUGCCUUCUCAAGAUCCUCGACUUCGUCCUUGAUGGCCAAAGCAAUCUGGUAGCAGGUUUCAUGUCUGCAAAAUUGGCAGCGAUUGAUGUUAAACAAUGUUUCCAUUCCAAAAGGUUAACCAAUAGUGAACCAGUUCUCAUUUAUAUACCUGGGCUGGUCAUUUCUGACAAAGGACCAGUUGAGAAUGGUGACAGGGCCAGUAAGCAUUCCCUUCAUUGGGCGAGCAGUCAUGCUCUGAGCCCAGGAGGACCAGAAGACGGUCAUAGCCUUGGGACGGCUCACAUCACCAUAGAUGAUGGGUGGCUUCACACAGCGAGAUCCAUAGGAUUGCACCCACCCAUUGGCAGUGAAGGCGAAACCUGAUAACUGCUCUCCAAAGUACUCAACCAUGUCGUUUCUCUACAAAAACAAAUGUCCGAAUUCAAUUUGAGAUCCAGCAUACUUCGUAUGCAAUUAGAAAUGCAGAAACAAAAAUGUAUAAAAUUUUAUGUAAUUCAAAACCAGGAGACAUUGCUUUGCUUCCAUUGGGCAUUGCGAGACUCACCUCAGGCUCUCCAUGGACAAGGACAUCAAUAUCAAGCUCUUCUUGGAGUUUGACAACCUUGUUGAUUUCCUCCUUGAUGGAAGCAACAUAUUCUUCCUCAGAAAUCCUAAAAAGGACAAAUAGUCACGGCACAGUUAAUACAGUAGUUGCAGUAAUUUCACACAUGGCAUUGAAUGAAGAAACACCUCAGAUUGACUCACUUCUUAGCCUUGUAUUCACGGCGGACUCUCCUAAGUUCAAUGGUUUGUGGGAAGGAUCCAAUUGUGGUGGUUGGGAGGAUUGGAAGAUUGAGCUUCUUCUGUUGAGCAUCUAAUCUAGCACUAACGUUUGUAGCACGUCUGUGGUCUGAUCCCCUCAAAGCAGCAGCCUAAUAGACCAAGAGGAAGGAAUCACUGUUAGCAAAAAAGGAAAUUCUAAGGGACAGCCACAUCAUAAAAAUGGAAAACAAAUCAAUCAUGCCACUUACAGCCUUUUGAACUGCCUCAUUGGUCACUCUCGGGGAGGACUUUCUUGAAGCCUGAGCUGCAGCAUUGGCAGAGAAGAAUCCCUGGAAACAAAUGAUAAGGAGAACCAAAGUUAGUCUCAUUCAUAUCAUUUUAAAAAGAAGAUACAUAUGCAAUUAGUGGGCUGAUUGUGAGAGAAAAAGUCCCCAAAACUUUAAUCAAACACCAAAUGCCCAAGUUGCCAAAUGAUGUUUAAUUCGGAAAAAUAUAUUUAAAAACAUUCAAAUAUAAUUUCCCCUUCUAAAUUUUCAUUUUCAACAACAUAUUUUACAAGCCAAGCUCAACGUCAGGCCAAGAUUUUGUGCUCCUAUAAUUAUAUUUUACCAUAAAACUAGGUCCUUGAAAGGCUAAGAUUUUCUGACUCUUGUGACUAGUCAAAGCCUAAGAUUCUUUCAAUUCAUCCGUAGUAAAAGUAUACCUCAUCCUUUUGGCCAGCCAAAGCCUUGGCCAAUGCAUUGACUUCAACAACUUUCUGGGCAGCAAAUGCCAGCCAUGACUUGAUUUCGUCGUCGAGUUUGUUCUCAUUAACAAGAUCAACAGCAGUGUGAAGAAGUGAGCAGGAGGUGGAGACCACAAGCUUGUCUGCAAAGAAAAGUAAUAAAUUAUACAACAAAUCCCAUAAUAGAAUAAGAAAUAUUUAUCACAAAGAAAAAUGCAAGCAAAGGAUGUAUACCUUUGCCAACAACACCCUCAAGCCCCCGGAGAACACUAAGAGAAGCAGCAAGAUCAUUGGCCCAAAUGUUCCUUCCAUCAACCACUCCAGCAAAGAGGUACUUGCCAGCAGGGAAUCCACUCUUGAUCAAUUCAAGGGUCUUGGUUCCACGAACCAAAUCAAAUCCAUAAGCGGUGACACCCUUCAAAGAAGUGAGGGUCUGGAAUGCCUCAGCUGGAACAUCAGCAAAGUAGGUCUCAACAAGAACAUUCAAGCCAGACAGAGUUGACUCUAGUUCCGCGUAAGCCUCACUGAAUGCUUGCAAUUUGUGUGAGUCAAGAUCCGUAACAAGCAAUGGCUCAUCAAACUGAAUCCAGGAAGCACCAGCAGCCUUAAGCUCAGAAACAACUUCCCUGCAGAAGUGUUAAUUGGUACGACACGGAUUAAUGAUGCCACACGAUACACACACACACACACACACACACACACACACACACACACACACACACACACACACACACACACACACACACACACACACACACACACACACACACACACACACACACACACACACACAGACAGAGUUAUUUAGCACAUACACGUUUAUAAAUCUGUAAAUAGGUGAUAAUUCUUACUUGUAGAUCGGAAGGAUUUUGGGAAGAAGAGAGAGAACAGAAAAGGUCUUCUCAACCCCCCAGGCAGGCUUAGACAGCAACAAGUAUGACACAGGGCCAAUAAGCACUGGGACAGUUUCAACUCCAUGCUGCAGCAUUAGACAAGUGGUAGAUAUUAGCAUCUCACAAACUUGAUCUGACUGAUAGAAAGUUACAAGCAAGUUAAGAAUAUGUUUGAUGAAAUUUCAAUGAAAAAUCUUCAGGGUCCACAACAUGUUGACUAUACCCUUUUUAAGUAAUUUAUCUUAAGACUAUUUUGCAAACAGUAUUGCUUCCCUUUACAGAUCAAAUAAAUCAUACAACAUCUGAACGCAUUUCCUGAGCCAAAUAUAAGUUCAAAGCUCUAUAAUAAAUGUCAAUGACUCUAUAGUAAAUUCCAUCACAUUCUGAGCUAUGGAUGAGCAUAUCAUAUGCCAAUUUCAAGUUGAACGUAACCCAAUUUCAACAUAUUGUAGAUUCAAGUAUCAAACGAAAAAAAAAAUAUUGUAAAUAUAGACAGAACUGAGAACAAACACUCACCCCCUUAGCCUCCUUGUACUCAGUCACAGCCUUGUGGGAAGCGUAGGAGAACUUAACAUCGGGUCCCAAUUCAGGAACAAUGAAAUGACUGCAUCAACACGAAGCCAAACACACGUCAGCAUUCAGUACAAAACCAUUACACCAUAACUAACUUGAAAUGCCGCUCUUCCAAGUAGUGAAUACUUACUAGUUGGUGUCGAACCACUUGGUCAUUUCCAUUGCGAGAACAGAGGCGUUUCCUCUGGCCAUGGAGAAGUAAACAUCGAAUCCAAUCUCGCCGCCGUUCCAGUUAAACCUCGGGGGCACGGCACCGAGCAUUGCGGUGGUGUCGAGCACUUGGUCGUAGUAGGAGAAAGUGUUGCUGGGAAUGUAUUUGAUCCCGGCCUCGGACAUCUGUUUCCAGAUGGAGGAUCUGAGAUCAGCGGACACCUUUUGCAAAUCCUCGGCGCUGCUCUUGCCAUCCCAGAAGGAUUCCAACGCGAACUUGAGCUCCCUCUUGGGGCCCAUGCGUGGGUAACCAACGAUGUGAGAUGCCAUUUUACUGUCAUAAUCACGUCAUCAAUGAAUCGAAAAUCAGUCCCUUCCAUUAAAUCAAGAAAUUAUUAAUUCAAAUGAAUGGAUCACAUUGUAUAUAUAUGGGAUAAAUAUAAUUAUGAACAAAAGCGUCUAAUCAAUCACAAAAAGCAAGCGACUGCAUCAAAUUUAGGGAUCCGACCCGACCCGACCCGAUCUGUAAAUUCCGGUUUCAAUCGGAUUAAGAUGAAACCUCUAACCCGAUAUAGUUGGAUUUUGGCCAACUCGAUCGGAUCAGAUCGGAUCGGAUUAAACUUAGUCCAAUCCGAAAAAUUCAAAAAAUCAAAACUACAAUAAGUAUAAAUCUAAAUUUUCAAUUCAAUUUGAUCUAAUCUGAAUAUAUUCGAAUCGGAUCAAAUACUAUGCUCUGCUUAAACUUGGAUUAUAUUUUUUUCAAUUUGAUUAACCUAAAAUUCGAUUGGAUAGAUCCAAAACUGAAUUUAUCUACCCCUCAGUCAUCAAUCAAUUACAAAACCUAAAAUCCGAUUGGAUAGAUCCGAAACUGAAUUUAUCCACCCUUAAGUCAUCAAUCAAUUACAAAGGCGACUGAUGUUUAUACAAUGGACAAUUAUUAAGUUACAGCUCUUGUAAUUUACAACUUAUACAAAAAUAUGUGAAAAAUUGUGAUAGGCAGUACAGUGUCAUGAUUUUAUACAAAAAUAUGUAAACAAUUGUGAUAGACGGUAGAACCUCAUGAUUUUAUAAAAAAUACGUAAAAAGUUGGGAUAAGUAAUGGAGCCCGCAUAAUUUUUUAUCAGCUGCAAGUUGCAAGUUACAGCAACUGUAACUUAGCGACCCCGACUUCAAUGUAAAAUGAGAAAGUACUCCUCCGCAUAGUACCUGAUGCUCAAAAGUCAAAUCACACGAAAUGCAAAUAGACUUAUCAGAGCAUAAAACCUUAUAUUACUUUUUGAAAAACGAUUUGAAACAAGGGCAAAAUUACAGUGUAACCGUACUUAGUCAUUGAAUUCAGCUCACAAUUAUCAUUAUAGUUAGAUCUAAUAACUAGAUCCAACUGUAUCCACAGUUAUAUUGUAGUUAGAUCUGAUAACUAAAUCCAGAUCCAGCUGUCCCCACAAUUGUCAUUAUAGUUAGAUCUAAUAAUUAGAUUCGGCUGAUUCAGCUGUGAUGUAGUACCCUGUAGUGCCAUAACUGGACAAAGAAACAAACUGAUAUAUUUUCUUUUUUGAAACAAACUGAUACUAAUCCAAGAGUUUCAGAUGAUCGGUUUUUUUUUUUUUUUCUAUAGUCACAUCAAUAAUUAAGUACUUUCAGUCAUUUUCGAAGGAUUAAAACGAAAACUCUAAAAAAAUUCUGAGAAUGAAGAAUCCGAAAAUAGAUUCAGAAAUAGUAACACAAGUAGAGGUCAGAUUGUUUUUUGGAAAAGAUUAAUUGCAGAUCUGAUGAACUCAAGUCUAGAUCUAGCAAAAUCACGGCAGCCAAACACUAGAUCUAAGACUAACAGUCACUCACCAGUCGAUCAGAAAGUGAAAUCAAGUUCAAAAUUCUUUUUUUUUAAUAGAUCCAAAAGCUAAUAUACAUAUAUAUAUGGCAAAAUAUAUAUACCGUACCCGAGAAGGACGAGCAGAGAAAUUAAGCUUUUUUCGAGAGAACGAGAAAGAAGAGAGACGAGACUGUUAGAAAUUGCUGUCAGUUUAAUUUUUAUUUAUAGCCAAAAACCUAACCUUGUUUAGUGGUUACUGGUUACCGUCUUCGGCGGUGUUGAUCUGAGAUUUAUCAUUUUAAUUUCUUUCUCUUACUUAUUUAUUUAAUUUGGGUCCAACUACGGUGAAACUGUAGUACCGUGCUACAGUUAUUUUCAACCGUUUGAUUCACUUGGAUGGUGGGAUCCAAUAAAAUCCAAUAACUGGGUGCAACCGUAGCACGGUGCCGCAGUUGCACCACAGUUUUUCCCAUUUAUUUAUUAUGCUUUCAGUGCAGUUGGCAAAAACAUGGAGCUUACGCGCGCUUUUCUGAUGUGGCGCGUGAAUUGGAAAUGUGGUAGAUCUUUGUGGAUCCGCCGGUGCAGUGAAGAGUGAAGGAAAAAAGAGAAAAGUUAUCAUGCCAGAUCAUUUGAAGAGAGCCGCAAUUAGUAAUUACACCACAAUAUAUUUCUGAUUAUUUGCUUACUUUGAUGAUGUUUUUACUGAUUAGUAAUUGGAAUAUGUUAGAAUCUAAAUAUAGUAGAAUCAUAAUAGAGUUGAAUCAAAAUAGACUAUAAUUAGAAUGGAUAAUGGGAAUUAGAAGAAUUAUUUGCUUUAGUUGUGAGAAUCCAAAUUGGAAUGAACUAUAUUGUCGUUGAUAUGUUUACUUUAUCAUAGAAUAUGAAUGAAUUAUUACAAGUUACUAAACAGACCUUAAGUUGAUUAUUGUCAUUAUUUAUUUAUUUAUUAUUAUUAUUAUUAUUAUCAUCAUCAUCAUCAUCAAAAUUAUUAAUCUUAUUAUUAAUGUUAAUUAUAAUAAUUAAUAAUUAUAAUAGUAUUAUAAUAAUAAUAAUAAUAAAAGCAAUCAUAAAAUGAGAAUUUCAAGAUUUAAGUAGAGAUAAUAUAAUUAUUUUAGAAAAUGAGAAUUUCCAUGAGAAUGUGAACUCUAUUAAUCAUUCCCAAUUUGAAGUGGGGCCUGCCAUUUUGAUUCAAUCUCUCAUUUAAGCAAGUAAAUACGACAUUUAUUCUCAUUCCCUCAUUCCCACUCUCAGGUAGCGUUUGUUUUUUAACUUAAUGACUUAAAGUGACUUAACUUAAUUAAUUAAGUUAAUUAGAGGUGUUUAUUUUUAUAACUUAAUGAGACUUUUUAGAUAAUUUUGACUUAAUAAAAUGAGCCAAUUUUUUUUGGCUUUUUACUUAAUGGAGAAAUUUGAAUUUAGUCAAUUACUUACUAAUGUCAAAAAUAUCUAUGUUUUAUAAUUUAUUUUUCAUGUCUAUCCCAAAACUCACCCAUAGACAUUUACCCCACAUAAAAAUAUCCCUAUUUUUUCUUUCUUAUAUUAUAUACGAUAAAAUUUGAAAUUUAUGGUAUUUUAUAUAUUAAAAUUCUAAAAUAAUUAUGUAUUCACUUGAAUAUAGUUUUACUUAUAACUGUUAAAAUAUUGUGGUAUUUAAUAUAUUAUUUAUUUGACAUUAAAAUUUAAUAAGGAUACAAAUGUAAAAGUACAUAUUUUCAGUUUUUUCAGUUAAAAAAAAAGCAACUUAAUACUUAUUUUUCGAGAUUCAGACGAAAAAAUAAACAUAUUAUUCAUAUUCAGACAUUUAGAUAUAUUCAGAAUUCAAACUAAUUCAGGUCUAUUCAGAUUUUAGACAAAAAAAACAAACGCCACCUCAAUCAAUAAACACACCAUAAAUGUAGAGUUGUUACUAUUAGAAUACAUUAUAAUUCAUCACAAUUAUGAUAGGUAUAUACGUGUGUAAUAAUUUAUAUAAGAUGCUAAAUUUUGAAAAUAAUAAAAAAUCAUUUAUACAUAUUUAAAAAAAUCAUUAAUACAUUAAAAUGUGCAUCACAUAUACAUUUACAUAAUAGCAAUGACCAUAGUAUAAAAAAAACUCCUAAAAGAGAACGACUUCGUUAUUUAUGUUAUUUUAUAUAUUUUUAAUUGAUUAUUAAAAGGAUCAAUUGUUAAUUAUUAUUCUCCAAACAUAAUCACCGUUAAACAUUUAUUCAAUUUAACAAUAGGUAGAUGUUAAAUAAUAUUGGAAUAUUUAAUGAACAAUAUAAUCACUAUUGCAGUUGUUUUUUUUUUUUAGUAAUGGAUUAUUCGAAACUCAAAUUCAUUUUUUAGCCCCCUUACCUCUCUUAAAAUUCAAAUUUAAGUGACUAAACAAAUAAAACUGCUUAAAAUCUAUACGACUACAUCUUUGGGGACCAAUUAAUAUGGAUGUUUAAAUCUUGAUUUAUUAUUAAAUCUUUGAGUUUCAACCACUAAUAACAUCAUCAUCGAUUAAUGACAAAUAAAAUAAUACAUCAUCAAAACCAUUAAACACGUCCAUCAAUAUCAAAAACAAGUAAAAAGUUUAGCAUGUAUUUCAAAUAUACUUUUCAUCCCAAAAGUUGUAGAGAAAGUCUCGAUAUCAAUGUCACUAUGAGACGUAAUUUUAUAUUUAAAGUCAGCGCAACUUAAAAAUUACUAUGAAUGAAUAAUACACCAUAAAAAAAUUAUUUAUAAGUAUUUUCAUCAUGUAUUUUUAUUUAACAAUGGUGACAUUUAUUUUUUAACUUAAUGACUUAAAGUGGCUUAACUUAAUUAAUUAAGUUAAUUUUAGGUGUUUGUUUUUAUAACUUAAUAGGACAUUUUAGAUAAUUUUGACUUAAUAAAAUAGGCCAAUUUUUUUUAACUUUUUACUUAAUAGAGAAAUUUGAAUUAAGUCAGUUACUUUCUAAUGUAAAAAAAUAUUCCUACUUUAUAAUUUAUUUUUCAUGCAUAUUCAAAAACUCACCCAUAGAUAUUUACCCCACAUAAUCUCAUCUUUAUUUUCUUCCAGCCGUCAUGGAAUCCCUCCUCACUUUGCUUCUCUCCUCUAGUUCUUGAAUCUCCCUUUAAUUUCUCGCUAGGCAAAGCACUUGAAUUGGGCUUUUUUUUUUUCCUUUUCAAUUACGUUUUCCAACAUUCACUUAUAUAAUAAUCAACUAGUUGCUACUCUUUUUAGUGAUAAAAUUUGAAAUAUGGUAUUUUAUAUAUUAAAUUUUCAAAAUUAUGUAUUCACUUAAAUGUAGUUUUACUUAUAAAUAUUAAAAUAUUAUGUUAUUUAAUAUAUUAUUUAUUUGACAUUCAAAUUUAAUAAGGAUAUAAAUGUAAAAGUACAUAUUUUUAAUUUUUUAAGUUGAAAAAAUAACUUAAUAUUUAUUUUCAGAUAUUCAAAUAAAAAAUAUAUUAUUUAAAUUCAAAAAUUUAAAUCUAUUCAAAAUUUAAAGUAAUUCAGGUCUAUGCAUAUUUCAAUCAUAAAAACAAAUGCCACAUGAGUCAUUCAAUUUCUAAUUAAGAGGAUAAAAAAUAGAUUUGGACUAUCCUAAGACAAAAACAAAAAAAAAAACAAAAAUAAGAUUUCCUAAUAAGUGUACUAACGUGGUCACGCGCCUUGAGAAACGCUUGGACCUAACACACUAUUUUAAUCCGAUAUGCAAAAAAAGAAAAAAAAAAAAAAGGAAAAAUUAUGAGAUGUAUAAGUUUCUAGAGACGUGUUAAAUUUUGAUGAAACAAUGAAGAAAGUCGGUGGCCGAAGUUGGUAUGGGGCAAUGCGAAUGGUGGUUGGCCCACGUUGCCCUGUAAUUGGAGUUGUUAUAAUUUUUCUUAUAAUUAAUAGGACUUGACACAGACUGCAGCAUCAGCCGUUGGAUGUGGAGGGAGAAACUAAACAAUAGAAAACCGUAUGGUGGGAUGACGGUAGAUGUUUGUUACAGAAACUGUACCAUAGACAGGUCCUAAUUAAUAAGCUCUACGUUUUGAAACAAUAAAUAAACUCCAGAUGACCAAAAUAUCAUUUCAUACUGCUACCUAGACAUCUUGGCGAGGGUGGGUAAUGUGGGGCCCGGAGCUUGUUUGAUCGUCAAUUAUUCUCUGGUUUGGUGAAACGAAUGGACGGACGAUGGUGAUGGCUUUUAGGAGAUUAGUAUUAUUAUUAUUAUUAUUAUUAUUACAUUGAGAUCGUAAAACAAAAAAUUCAAUUAAUAAUAUAAAAUAUUUAUUUAAUUUAUUAAUUAUUAUAUAUACACAAUAAAAAAAUUUAUAUACAUAUUUAUAAAUGUGUAAAUAAAUUUCAUUCAAUAUUAUAUCCAAUUAAUCAUUUAUAUUUUUCUGCUGUACCGUACAUCCGCCUUGGCCGUACAGCAGUAAAGCUGCUGAUGCUUUAUCGCGAAUUCAUGAGGAAAAUGUGAUUGAAGAACCCAAACCAACAACUCUUUGUUUGUCGUUAGACAUUUACCCCACAUAAAAAUAUCCCUAUUUUUUCUUUCUUAUAUUAUAUACGAUAAAAUUUGAAAUUUAUGGUAUUUUAUAUAUUAAAAUUCUAAAAUAAUUAUGUAUUCACUUGAAUAUAGUUUUACUUAUAACUGUUAAAAUAUUGUGGUAUUUAAUAUAUUAUUUAUUUGACAUUAAAAUUUAAUAAGGAUACAAAUGUAAAAGUACAUAUUUUCAGUUUUUUCAGUUAAAAAAAAAGCAACUUAAUACUUAUUUUUCGAGAUUCAGACGAAAAAAUAAACAUAUUAUUCAUAUUCAGACAUUUAGAUAUAUUCAGAAUUCAAACUAAUUCAGGUCUAUUCAGAUUUUAGACAAAAAAAACAAACGCCACCUCAAUCAAUAAACACACCAUAAAUGUAGAGUUGUUACUAUUAGAAUACAUUAUAAUUCAUCACAAUUAUGAUAGGUAUAUACGUGUGUAAUAAUUUAUAUAAGAUGCUAAAUUUUGAAAAUAAUAAAAAAUCAUUUAUACAUAUUUAAAAAAAUCAUUAAUACAUUAAAAUGUGCAUCACAUAUACAUUUACAUAAUAGCAAUGACCAUAGUAUAAAAAAAACUCCUAAAAGAGAACGACUUCGUUAUUUAUGUUAUUUUAUAUAUUUUUAAUUGAUUAUUAAAAGGAUCAAUUGUUAAUUAUUAUUCUCCAAACAUAAUCACCGUUAAACAUUUAUUCAAUUUAACAAUAGGUAGAUGUUAAAUAAUAUUGGAAUAUUUAAUGAACAAUAUAAUCACUAUUGCAGUUGUUUUUUUUUUUUAGUAAUGGAUUAUUCGAAACUCAAAUUCAUUUUUUAGCCCCCUUACCUCUCUUAAAAUUCAAAUUUAAGUGACUAAACAAAUAAAACUGCUUAAAAUCUAUACGACUACAUCUUUGGGGACCAAUUAAUAUGGAUGUUUAAAUCUUGAUUUAUUAUUAAAUCUUUGAGUUUCAACCACUAAUAACAUCAUCAUCGAUUAAUGACAAAUAAAAUAAUACAUCAUCAAAACCAUUAAACACGUCCAUCAAUAUCAAAAACAAGUAAAAAGUUUAGCAUGUAUUUCAAAUAUACUUUUCAUCCCAAAAGUUGUAGAGAAAGUCUCGAUAUCAAUGUCACUAUGAGACGUAAUUUUAUAUUUAAAGUCAGCGCAACUUAAAAAUUACUAUGAAUGAAUAAUACACCAUAAAAAAAUUAUUUAUAAGUAUUUUCAUCAUGUAUUUUUAUUUAACAAUGGUGACAUUUAUUUUUUAACUUAAUGACUUAAAGUGGCUUAACUUAAUUAAUUAAGUUAAUUUUAGGUGUUUGUUUUUAUAACUUAAUAGGACAUUUUAGAUAAUUUUGACUUAAUAAAAUAGGCCAAUUUUUUUUAACUUUUUACUUAAUAGAGAAAUUUGAAUUAAGUCAGUUACUUUCUAAUGUAAAAAAAUAUUCCUACUUUAUAAUUUAUUUUUCAUGCAUAUUCAAAAACUCACCCAUAGAUAUUUACCCCACAUAAUCUCAUCUUUAUUUUCUUCCAGCCGUCAUGGAAUCCCUCCUCACUUUGCUUCUCUCCUCUAGUUCUUGAAUCUCCCUUUAAUUUCUCGCUAGGCAAAGCACUUGAAUUGGGCUUUUUUUUUUUUCCUUUUCAAUUACGUUUUCCAACAUUCACUUAUAUAAUAAUCAACUAGUUGCUACUCUUUUUAGUGAUAAAAUUUGAAAUAUGGUAUUUUAUAUAUUAAAUUUUCAAAAUUAUGUAUUCACUUAAAUGUAGUUUUACUUAUAAAUAUUAAAAUAUUAUGUUAUUUAAUAUAUUAUUUAUUUGACAUUCAAAUUUAAUAAGGAUAUAAAUGUAAAAGUACAUAUUUUUAAUUUUUUAAGUUGAAAAAAUAACUUAAUAUUUAUUUUCAGAUAUUCAAAUAAAAAAUAUAUUAUUUAAAUUCAAAAAUUUAAAUCUAUUCAAAAUUUAAAGUAAUUCAGGUCUAUGCAUAUUUCAAUCAUAAAAACAAAUGCCACAUGAGUCAUUCAAUUUCUAAUUAAGAGGAUAAAAAAUAGAUUUGGACUAUCCUAAGACAAAAACAAAAAAAAAAACAAAAAUAAGAUUUCCUAAUAAGUGUACUAACGUGGUCACGCGCCUUGAGAAACGCUUGGACCUAACACACUAUUUUAAUCCGAUAUGCAAAAAAAGAAAAAAAAAAAAAAGGAAAAAUUAUGAGAUGUAUAAGUUUCUAGAGACGUGUUAAAUUUUGAUGAAACAAUGAAGAAAGUCGGUGGCCGAAGUUGGUAUGGGGCAAUGCGAAUGGUGGUUGGCCCACGUUGCCCUGUAAUUGGAGUUGUUAUAAUUUUUCUUAUAAUUAAUAGGACUUGACACAGACUGCAGCAUCAGCCGUUGGAUGUGGAGGGAGAAACUAAACAAUAGAAAACCGUAUGGUGGGAUGACGGUAGAUGUUUGUUACAGAAACUGUACCAUAGACAGGUCCUAAUUAAUAAGCUCUACGUUUUGAAACAAUAAAUAAACUCCAGAUGACCAAAAUAUCAUUUCAUACUGCUACCUAGACAUCUUGGCGAGGGUGGGUAAUGUGGGGCCCGGAGCUUGUUUGAUCGUCAAUUAUUCUCUGGUUUGGUGAAACGAAUGGACGGACGAUGGUGAUGGCUUUUAGGAGAUUAGUAUUAUUAUUAUUAUUAUUAUUAUUACAUUGAGAUCGUAAAACAAAAAAUUCAAUUAAUAAUAUAAAAUAUUUAUUUAAUUUAUUAAUUAUUAUAUAUACACAAUAAAAAAAUUUAUAUACAUAUUUAUAAAUGUGUAAAUAAAUUUCAUUCAAUAUUAUAUCCAAUUAAUCAUUUAUAUUUUUACAGCGGUUUAAUAAUAAUAUUUACUAAAUACAUAUGAUUAUUUUUAAAAUUCACAGUAUUUUUAAAAAUAAAUUUUAUAAAAUUUUUAACUAAUUUUCUUUACAACUAACUAUUGAACGGUUUAACUAAUAGUAAUUAUUUUUAAAAUUAUAGUAUUAUCAAAUUAGUCCUAUGUCAAAUUUGUUAUUGCUGUUUUUUUUUUAAUUAAAAAAUUACAUAGUGCAUACGUGCAUAAUAUGCCCAACUCAAAAAUUCACACAAAAUAUACUAUUUAACUUUAAGGCUUUAAUUGAAAAAAAAAAUUAAGAUUAAGAUGAAUAAAUACUAGAACAUAACAAAUAGAUAAACUCUCCCAUUCUUUAAAAAGAUUAAUUUUAUUUUAAACUUACACUUCGAAUUCAAAGUAGACAUUGAUUGAUAAAAUUAUACAAACGGAUCAAUAUUCCUACAUUUUCUUUUUAAUUUCAAAACCAACAGAUAUUGUUUGUUCAUUAUAUGACCUCCAAACAAAUAAUUUCAUUAAUAAAAUAAUAAUGAAAAGUGUCGUGAUGGGUAUAGAGUAAUUAGGUGGCUAAGUUUCUACUUUUCAUUCUAACUCUUGAGGUUGGUAGGCGCGUGGGUGGUCCACAAAACCCGUGGACGGUAGCAUUCAAACAAAGACUGGAGGCACCAGAAAAAUGUCCAAAAAGUGUGAAACCGUGACGUGUUCAACAUGUUAAUAAAUUUAGGCAAAUGUUAAAGUUACGGAGCUGGCUACGUUACAGAAACUGUACGUAACAGCCAUGCAUUUUUUAUUCGUUGGAUCUAGAGACUGAAAUUGGAUGGUUGGGAUUAAAGGCCAGAAUAGAAAUUAAUCACGGGCAACCGUUUUUAACAUUUAGAAGGGUUUAUUUUCAUGCACACCCAAAUAUUUUGACAAAUAUCAAUAUGCACCCAGUAACUUUUUAUGUAAAACCACAUAACCGACCCGUUAACUUUUCUACUAUUGAAUUAAAAAACUAUCAUGCCUCAAUUGAAUUAAAUUGAUCAGGUAAAAUAUCUUUUAUAACUUGUCAAUUUUUACAGUGAAAUAUACGAGUAUUUAGUAAAAUCAAAUUUAUUUUUUAUUCAGUAAUCAAAUUUUUUUAUUUAGUGAAAUCAAAAUUAUUUUUCUUUAGUUGUAAGAUUUUUUUAACAAAAAAAUUCUAAAAUCAGAUUUAACUCAUUUACUAUUUUAAAAAAUGAACUUUUUACUAACCAAACUAGAGUUUAUCUUUAGUCAACAUAUUUUUUUCUCUAAAAUAACCUUUGAUAGAAUUACUUAUAUAAACAUGUCAGUAUCAAAAUUACUUCAUAUUUUACCAUCCAUCAAUUUAAACUAGUGUGAAAUUUUUUUAGUUUGAUAUUGAAAAUAUGAUAGUUGAUGAGAGAAAUCUAAUUCAAAUUUACAGAUAGAAUAGUUUCUUAUAAUUGCGUACAUGGUAUAUCAAAAAUAUUUUUUUGUGAGUUUUUAAAAAAAUUGUGUCACAAGAUGAAAUUAUCUCUUGAUUUUUCAAUUCCUGGAAUUUAUGUAAAACAAUAAACACAAGUAAAUCUUUUGGUUUGUGACUUCUUGAAGGAAUGUUUGGGAACGCACAAGUUCCUCUCUCCUUCAAAAAGAAUGAUAAGUGCAAAUACCAACCUAGAAAAUUGAUUUAUAAUUCAAAGAAGAUUUGAUUGAAGAUGAUUAAUUGAAAUUUAUCUUUGCAUGAUGUCAAACAUUUUUCAAAAUGACUAAGUCAAGUCUCUUUGUUAAUUCAAAUCAAGAAAAAUUAGAAAAAUAUUAAUGCAUAGAAAUUCUACUAAGAGUUAUUUAUGAAAUUCUCAAACGAAUAGAAAUUAAAUUAACAUUUUUAAAUUUUAGUUAUGGGUUUAUUUUAAAAAUGGGUUUAGAAAGAAAUUUGAGGGGUUUAAAGAACCCCGCCCUUUCUUUAAUUAUUCGGUGAAUUUGAAAUAUAUUAAUAAGGUAUAAGAAUAUGUUAUUCUAAUCUUCUUAUGCAAAAUCUAUGCAAUUAAAAAAAAAUUCACCAAACGGUAUUUGUCUUUUUAUUGACAUUUAAUAAUAUUGAUGGCAAAUAUAUACAAUUAUCAAUCAAUUGUUAUCAACUAUUCAAGAUAACUGAAAAACUAAUUGCGUGAAGUUGGAGUAAUGAUUGUUUGAAUUGCCAAGAGUUUUUUUUUAAUAGAAACUAUUGCAAUUCAUAUCAUUAAAAAACUUAAAGACUACAAGUCGAAUAAAAAAUCUUUCCUUAUAAAAGAAUUUGACCAACUCAAAGUACAGUGUUAAAUCCUUGAGAUACAAUGAACCUAAAAAUCCUACUUUGACACACCACAAAUAAUGAAUCUAACUUAACAAUCAAUGGAGAUAAAUCAAUUUUACUAGCAAAAUAUAAGCCAAAACACAAGGCAACGUCUUCACCAAAAUCAAUAUCAUUCAAAUAAUUCCCCUUGUGAACGCCUGAAGCUAUCAUAAAAACAACAAAAAAUAAAAAAAUAAAAACAAGUAGACAAGCAAAAAAAUUCCCCAAUAACAAGUUACCCUACAAAACUUUUCCUUGUAGAACAUACACAGAAACCGCAGCUAUAGGGCUAUCGAAAGUAGGGAUGGCAAUGGGGAGGGGAGGGGAGGGGACCAAUCUCCCCAUACCCAUCCCCGAUAUUUUGCGUAUGUCCCCGUCCCCGUCAGAAUUGCUUGAGAGAAUCUCCAUCCCCUCCCCGAAUAAUAACAGGGGAUCCCCGAGGGUCCCCGGUCUUUGGAAAAGCUAGGAAAGAAAAGGGACGUGAAAAACAAAGGGGGUAGAUUUUUUGAAGGGGAAAGAAAAAGAAACCCUAGAUCUAAAUUUUUCUCUUCUCUCUAUGAAGAACUAAACCUAUUAUUCUGGUUGAAGAUUAAUAAAGCUUUGGUUCAUCAUUACUGUGAGAUCUUUCUUAUGCUUUAAUUGUUUUAUUGCUUUUUGGGUAUUUGUUUAUUCUCUAAAUUAUUGUCAUGAUUAUAUUUGUUAAUUAGAUAAUUGGCCACUAUUUAAUUAUCAACUUAAUCUAUUGUCAAUUAAAAGAUUCAUCGUAUGAAGAUUUUAAUAUUUGUGACAAAUAGCAUAGCAGUGCGUUGUGUUAUGAGAAUAAACAAUCUAAUUUAAAUGAACCAUCGUAUGCGUUUGUUGAUUAGGAUUUGGGUCUCUCUGAUUUUUCAGGUUGUCAAUUAAUUAAAUCCUAUGAUUGUAUCUAGGGUUAUCUAUUAAUUAGGGAAAUAACCAAUGGUCGUACCUUAGUUAUCGACUAGUUAAAGAGAGAUUGGCUAUUAAAGGGUCUCAGUAGCUAGGGAUGGCAAAAAUCCCCACGGGGACGGGCACCCUCGGGGAUUUUCCCCAUUCGGGGAGGGUACGGGGAUAAUUUUAUACCCAAUUUUUUUUUCGGGGAGGGGACGGGGAAAAUUUUUUACCCAAUUUUUUAUUCGGGGAGGGGACGGGGAUGAGGUGGAAUCCCCAUCCCCUACCCAUUUCCCCAUUUUAAUUUUUAUUUUUUAUUUUUAAAAUUACUAAUAAAUAUAUAACAAAAUUAUAAAUAUUGGCAAGAUAUGAGUGGAAUUUUGGGUGUGACAUGUAUAUUUGAUCCAAGGUAUAAAAAGAAGUUCAUUGAAUAAUACUUUUCUUUUUAUUUUUAAAAUUACUAAUAAAUAAAUAACAAAAUUAUAAAUAUUGUUAAAAAUAAUAAAUAUCAAAAUAGUUGUAUGUUGGGAAAGUGGUCACCCCUUACCAGGAAUUAGUGGAAGAGUAUCAAUUGAAGUUUUCACCAAUUGUUUAUUGCUUUGAUUAUACUGGUUGUAGUUCUUCUAUUAGAUCUACAGGGGAUUCUUAUAAGAAAGCAACCAAAUGGAUGACAUGUUUUGAUGAUUAUGUAAACAAUGGAGAUUGUGCAGUUGUUGCAGAUGAAUUAGAUUCAUAUUUGGAUGAAAAAGUUAUACCCCGGAUGGAAGAUUUUAAUAUUUUGAGUUGGUGGAAGACAAAUGCUAAUAGGUAUCCUACAUUAGCUCGAAUUGCUACAGGACGAGCAGGAGGUAAAUAGUUUUAUUAAAAAUAUUAAUUAAGUAUCUACAUUUAUUUCAUUUAUUUUAUUGCCGAUGUAAAAAAUAUUUUUUUUUUCUUUUUAUUGUAGGAUUAUGAAGAUUGAGACAUUGAUAAAGAUAAUUAUUUUAAUAAUUUAUAUUUUGAAUGUGACUUUGUAAUGGAUCAAUAUUAAUGUAAGAUAUAUUUUAAACUUUAUUUUUAUCUGAAUUUUUUAUUUUAAUAUGAUUAAUUUAAAAUCAAAAAUAAAAAAAUGUAUUAGACUAUUAAUUAUUCGGAGACCGGGGACCCUCGGGGAUCCCCUGUUAUUAUUCGGGGAGGGGAUGGGGAUUCUCUCAAGCAAUUCUAACGGGGACGGGGAGGGGACGGGGACAUACGCAAAAUAUCGGGGAUGGGUAUGGGGAGAUUAGUCCCCUCCCCUCUCCUCCCCAUUGCCAUCCCUAGAUUUUUGCCAUCCCUAUCGAAACCUCUACCCACCACUAUUAGAGUUAAAAAAAUCUCUGAUAUGAGUGUAUUCUUCUAAUUUGAACUCUAACGUGAUUUUUUGAGAGAUUCAUUGGAAAAAAACCUUAAGGAGUUAAAGAAGAAAUUUAAAAAAAAAAUCAUAAAAAGAGGAAUGAAAAGAAAAAGAUGCUUUACCAAGAGUUGAUUGACAGUAAUUGGUAAAUUUGAGCAUGCAAUAAAAUUUACCCAUAUAUUCAUAUGACAUAAAAUAUAAUUUUAUUCAUUAAUUACACUACUAAUUUGUCUAAAUUUUAGUUUUUAAAAAAAUAAAUUUCUAUAUAUUUACAUAAAUCUUAGUUUUUAUAAAAAUAAAUUGAAAAAUAAAUUUAUGUUUUUAUAAAAAUAAAUUUAUGUUUAUUUUUUUACAUUGACCUGAAGAAAAGACUAGUACUACUAAGCUGCUGUACGGCCAAGGCGGAUGUACGGUACAGCAGCAAUUUGACUGUUUGGGGGUGGGGUUGAUGGCUUACAUCAAAGUUAGUGUGUGCUAAGGAUUAACAAUAAUAAUGGGGUAAAUAUGAAAUUAAUCCUUGCCCAAGCAUUAGAAGUUCGUCGGUUUUCUUUUAACCGGAUAAUUACCGGUGAAUAUGUCACGCGUUCCUACACGUGGCAGCAUCUAAUUUAUUCGCUUGUCAUUUCAGUUUCUGUUAGUUACAGUUUCUGUAACGUAGCUAGCUCCGUCAGGUACAGGCAUGUUGUAACUUACGUUUCUCGUAAAAAUCAUAUAAGUUCUAUUUCUACCGCUAGGGUGAGCAUGGGUUGAUUUGGAUUAAAUUUUAAGUUAAUUUAAAUUAAAUUAUAAAAAUUUGGGUGUAAUCUAAAUUAAUUUAAAUAUUUUUAACAUAACUCAUGGGUUGGUUAAAUCAAACUAUAAAAAUUUGGUCCAACUCAAAUUAACUCAAAUAUUUUCAACACAACCCAAAGCAACUCAGUUGGAUUUUAUUAAAAUUAUAAUAAUUAUUAAUUGUUUUUAAACCAACCAUUUUGAGUUUGGUUUGGAUUUUAUUAUCAAAAUAUAUUUUUUAUUUUGAGAAAUUUAAUUUUAUCAAAAUUAUAAUAAUUAUUAAUUGUUAUUACUUAUUAAAUUGAUAAUAACAUAUAAAAAUUAUAAUUCAUAAAAAUUAUAAAUAACAAAUUUUACAAUAACUUAAUCCUUAAAUUAAAGAAUACUAGAAAAUUAAAAUAAAGUUUAAUCACAAAAAUCAUUAUUUAUCAAUAAAUAAGAAAAUUCUAAUAAAAAACUUCUACAAGCACGAUAUCGACAAGUAAAUUCAAAGAAAGAAAGAAAGAAAGAAAAGACUAGUACUACUAAGUAUUAACCCUAUUACAACACAAACUCUAACAAUGUCCAUACAAAUAAAAAAAAAUAAGACAUUCUAACUCAAGUGUCAAAGCAAUCCAUCAUAAUCAUUUCCAUCCGUAGUACUUUAAUCGAGAGAUUCCACGAUUAACUGACAAAAUGUAUGACAAUGAUAAUUUACAUUGAUUAUGACAUAAUAGAGAUGGAUUUGUCAAAGCCAAAUCAUUUGCUGGAAAGGAAUUUAGUUGAAGUAGGAACCAAAAUUCAACUUAGAUGGAUCUAUAAAAUUGGUCAUUCAAUACAUAAGUACUUUAUCAACAGAUUCAACACAUUAUAAAUUUAUGGAUUCAACUAAGUUACAACCAGCUGCAACUUAUUCCUCUCACAUAAACAAUAAUACAGCGGUAGGCUAUAUUAUUUACAAAAAGUACUUAUGUAUUGAAUGACCAAUUUUAUUACCUGCAAAAUUAAUUAAUCUUUCACUCUAUCAUCUAACUAAUGGAAGGCAAUCUUAUUUUAGGUUGUAAUGAUUAGAAACUAGCAGGAAGUGGGGGCGAUGCUCCAUAUUAAUUUGGAUAAAUCCCUUUCUAGUGAAGAAGUUAAAAUUAUAAAAUAGAGAUCAAGAUAGAAAUUUAAAGGCCCCGAUUGUUUUUUACAGACUUAAAAAUGAUAUUGAAAAAUUAAAAGCUAAUUUUAGUAUUUAAAAAUUACUUUAAGAAAAAUCACCCUAUCUUCCUGUAAAUUUUGAAAAGCAUGAAAAGAGCAGUUUUUCAAAAAUUGAUUUCGAAAAUUAGUUUCAUACUUAAUACAAUUCCAUAUAUCCUAACAUUUAUUAUAAAAAUUCAAAUUAUCCUUAUUAAAUUAGGAAAUAAAGUCAGUACAUUUAAAUAAGAGUGAUGAUAUAGACACAAACUCUUGUACCAACUGACGUAGCAUUAAUUUAUUAGUUGAAUGAAAAUAUAAAAUAAUAUAAAUAAAUCAUGUGGGCCAAGAAAUAUUUAAUUUAACCAAUUUUAUCAUGUCACAUUAUAAGCAACUUAUAAACUCAUUGGAUUCGACUCUUUACUAAAAUAAAAAUAAAUUAAUAUAUAUAUAUAUAUAUAUAUAUAUUUACAUACAUAAAAUGUGAUUAUAUACACAUAUUUAUAAUUGAAUAUGUACAUAAAUUCUGUAGAUUUAUGUCUAUCUAUACAUUUGCAUUCUUACCACAUUUUAAAAGUGUGAUUUACCAAAUACAUGGGACUUAUUUGAAAUUUAUAGCACUUUUAUAAAUAAAAUUUAUCAAACGUUAAACAGAUUCUCUAUUUUCGCGUAUAUAUCCUCAUGUAAAUUAUAAAAAUUCAAAAUUAUCUUUAUUCAAUUAGGAAAUUAAAUCAUUAUUUUUAAAGAGAUUCUUAUUAUUACUAAUUAGAUUCAAAUAACCAAAAAAAUACAAUCAAUAAAAUAAAAAUAUUUAUUUUAGUUAUCAUUUAUUAUAUACACAUAUUUAUAAAUGCAUGUGUAAAUAAAAUUUUAUAGAUUUAUGUCUAUUUAAGUUAUUUGCAUUCUUACAACAUUUAAAAAAUGAGAUUUACUAAACACAUGUGAUUGUUUUUAAAAAAGUUACAACACUUUUAAAAAUAAAAUUUAACAAAUGUUUAAUUGACUCUCUCCAAAGGUAAUUGUUUUUACAGUAUAGCUAAAGUAAUUUAUAAAUUUAUGAUAAGUAUUUGUGAAUAUUGGUCUAUGUAAAGAAGUAAAAACAACAUAUAUAUUAAGCAGCAUGAUAUUAAAACUCUUAGUAAAAUACAUAUACUAAUAAAAGAAAGACAACAAUGCAAUAAAUAAGCUUAUAAUAUAAAUUAUUAAAAUUGUAUAUUAAAAAAUUAUGCAUGAAAUUCUUUUUCUAUUUUGGUGAUAGAGAAUGCGAUAUAAUUGAAUUAUUUGAUUUAAUAAAAAAAAAAUAUGACUGUGAAGGAAAUUAACAAUUGAAUUGUGGAAUGUUAUUAAUUGUUAUUGUAUCAUUUUGCAACGUUCUAAUAAUAUGGACAAUGUUACAGUAUAUUGAUGGGCGGUAAUAUUUUCACCUCUUAAAUUGUGUAAAGUCAGCUCCAUUUAAAAAAAUUAUAUAUAAAAAGCCCAUUAGUUUUAAUAGUUUCAAAUUAAGAUUAAAUGCAAAUAAUUAACCAAUUAAAUCCUUAUUAAUAAGAUCAUUGAGCUUUAAUUAAACUAAUAAAAUGCAUUUGAUAAAUGAAAUUUACGAUAUUUAAUUACAUGAAAUUUAUUGACUACAUGAAUAAUAUAAUUGUUCAGCUGUUUAAACUUUUUCCCUAUUUAAAUUUUAAAAAACAAUGUGAAAUUUUGUAAAUAGUUCUUUGAAAUGGGGUGGAUUUACACCAUUUGUGCAGUGCAAAUAUCCUAAUUCUAACAUUUUUUUUAAAAAAAAAGACCAAAUCAUAACAUUUUUUGUAUACUAAGUUAAAGUAGUACUAACAUUAUAGCCCCCUAAUGAUUUCAAUUCAUUCAAUGAAUAUAUAAUUUAAGCAUGUUAUAAACUAAGUCUCUAAAUCGAAUUAAAAAAAGAAAAAAGAGCUUAAUUGCUGACAUAGUUGAAAAUAAAAUAAAAAAUUUUAUUAUUAGAUGAAAAAUUAUGAAACUUAAGGGGUAUAAGCGAGUCGGCAGCUGCUCACCAGGGCAUAUGUAAUAUUUGUUAAUACAUUUCAAAAUUUUAGGUUUUUUAAUAAUAUUUUCAAUACAUUUUCUAGAAGGUUUAGAAAAAAAAAAUGACUCAAUACUUUAAUCGAGCUAUGAAUAAACUCAUGUGUUAAAAAAUUUCAUAUUUACACCCAAUAAGAUUAAUUAAUGGGUGAUACAAAUUUAAGAUAGUUAAUAAUAAUAUAUAUCAUCUUAAGUUAACUUCAACUCAUUAACCUUGUAUAAGGUUUGAUGGGUCGUGCCGCAAAUUAUCACCUCUAAUCCUUUUUGCAACAGGCAUGAUGAAUGCUAACAAAAUGAAACUUCUAUAUAUUUAGUUGUUAUUCUUUUUAAUGAAAUAAUAAGGAGCUUUGCUGCAAAUUUCCAUCCAGCAUGGCAUGGACGCACGUGAAAUUUGCUAGUAUGGUCCUGGACAUGCGUGGCUGAGAUGCUUCUAAAGGCAAAGAAUUCCAAGUUCAUACCAAAUAUAACUUUCUGAUAUUUUUGUGGUAUCAAGUUUGUUUUUCACAAACUAAGGUGUCGGCGUAAAGUUGUUGUCCAUGCAAUGAAGUUUUAUACAUAAAUAUAUUAACCUAAAUUGUUACUAAAGUUCCAUAAUUAGCAGUUCCUGAGAGUUUUUACUAUAUAUUUUUUUGUUUUAAUUCAACAUAUGUUUAUUUAAUACGAUUUUAUUAAAUAAAUGUGCAUAUUUACCAUAUUUGUCUACGAUCAAUUAGUUGGAAAAAAAAAAGAAAAUUAAUAAAUUUAUUUAUUUGAUUGUUAAUGGUUUAGGCAUUUGAAUUCCCACAAAGUCAGGGUGUCAGCUCUGGACUUCUGGUGAUGUAUUUUUCUAAUAAAGAAAUAAAAUAUUGUUGUCAUUUUUUUAAUAUUCUAAUUUACCAAGCCUACCAACCAAUUAAUUUUUCUAAUUAGAUCAUUAAUUCAUUACACGUGCAUUCGCUGGCCCAGUGCUCCAAUCCCAUGCAUGCUGCACAACUCAAUGUGUUUUAAUAAGAAAAGGUUUGGUUAGCCUGUGCUGAUGCCAGAAGCCCCUUAAGGAGUUCAGGUAAACGUAAAUAUGUCCAGAUUUAGAUUUGAAUAUGUAAACGUAAAUAGGUCCAGAUUCAGAUUCGUUGCGCUAGAGAGGGGCACGCACGAUCGGGCUGCUGUCAGGUGGUACGUUGGCGUGGCAAUUCUCAACACGCGCUUCUCCUGGUGCAUACUUACGGCAAGUUGACACGUGACCCGUGUGGAUUGAGUGGACAGAGUCACGGGCACUGAUUUUUGUCAUCCAUAACGACUAACGUCGGAGACUUCGAGAAGAAAGAAAUUGUUGUCGUUUCUAAGGGGAAAAAAAUAUUUAAUUUGUUGAAGACAAAUUAACGUCGGAGAUUUUUUUUAUUUUUUAUUUUUAAUUUUGCAAUCUAAACCAGUCUAAUCAAAAUGUCAAUUUGACAAAAGUUGGACUGAUUUAGAUUAGUUCUAUUAGUUUGAUUGGAUUAAAUUGAAUUAGAUCUUGAACAUCCUAACACUUUUCAUGAAUGUUUUCCUUUUUUUUUGAAAAAAAUUAAUAAGGAGAAUUCCCAUGAAUGUUAAUUUUAUUGAUAAACUUGGCAAUUUUAAGAAAUGUUUUGACGCACGAAUAAUGCAAUUCAUCAACCCACAUAGAUAUGGAUAUAGGAAGCAGAGACCAGAUCGAUCUUGACAUAACGAAAACUUGUAUGUGUAUAUGUAUGUUACAGACCAGAUCGAUCUGUAGCAUAGACUUCUCCUAUAUGUAGGUUAUAUUCAAAUUACAAAAUGAACACAUGUUAAGGAUCUACAACUUCUUCUUUAAUCUAAUAAGCUCCCUCAACUUUAUUCCAAAACAAAAAAGAAUCAAAUUUUUGUUGGAAAUAUUUAUGAAUGAAGAAGCAAAAAGCGCUUGUAUCAAGGAUCUAAUUAAAGAACUGCCAGAGGCAUAGAUCUAUCAAAGCUCCCUCGCAUGACUCUUGGUCUCGGUGGCUUCUUCUUCUUCAUUCCGAAUUUUCCCUCCAUCUGAUCUCUUCCAACCUUUCCAUUUCCAAAUUGAAUUGAAACUUGCCUCAUAUUCGUUUGUUGAAUCCCAUCUUUUGUUGCACCACCAUGCAUCAAAAUCCUUGAAAUCCCAGCAUAAUGCAAGGACUCAGCUAUUUGCAAUGGGGUCACGUUCUUACUUGUCCUUGCCUCAACAUCAGCUCCCUUCUUCACAAGCAAUUCAGUCACAUCUGUGUGGCCAGAUUCCACCGCACAAUGCAAAGCUGUGUACCCAUCUUCAUCUUUAGCAUCAACAUCAAUCCCUUUAUCAAUCAGAAUCCUCACAACCUCAAUCUUUCCCUUAAACGAAGCCCUAUGCAAAGCAGUCCAUCCAUGUAGGUCUUUCCCAUUGAUCGCGGCGCCUGCUUCGAUCAACCUCUGCAUUGUCCUCACUUCCCCUUUCCUAGCGGCAAUACACAGGCUGUCACCAAGCUUCAACGCGUCAAAGAGACGGGAGUGACCGCACUCAGCAGCAACAUCAUAAGCGGUCUUUCCGCUCUUGUUUCUAAUAUAUUUAUUAGCACCCUUCUGCAAUAACAGCUUCACCAUUUGCUCAUAUCCCAAGCUUGCGGCGAUAUGCAAAGGCGUGUCACCGUCUCUAGCGUUGCGUAUAUCAGGCCUUGCUCCGUUUGCUAACAGAAGUCUCGCGCAAUCUCUUCUUCUGUCUUCAACCGCGAGAUGCAGAGCUGUGUUACCAUCUUUUGUUAAAGCAUUGACAUUAGCACCUUUGAUUAAGAGAAGCUUUAGUACUUCCAAAUGGCCGCCUCGUAAGGCCAAGUGUAUGGGCCCCCAUGUUGAUGUUCCUGAUCUUUCUGUGCUGGCUUUCCUCGCCAACAAGAGCUCAACAAUAAGUGCUUCCCCUGCAGCCGCCGCGGCUUCAAGUGGAGUACUGCAGCCACACCUGCCUUGAGACUCAACAUCCGGCCCAAACUCAAGCAAAAGUUGAACAAUAUCAGGCCUCCUUUGAGCUAUAGCAAUAUGAAGCAACGUUUGUCCCUGCGCAUCGGCAGAAUCAGCCGGGUUCCAAGCCGGGUCACUCCGCUCAAGAACCUCUCUUAAAUCAUCCAUUUCACCAUCCUUAACAAGCAGAACCAAAACAGGAGACCCAACGAACAUGAUCUUGAUUCCGCUGUCGAUGAACACUUGCUUCUUCCUCGUUGUGAACCAGUCACUGGGGACGGAAUCAAGCGUCGACGUUGCAUCUUUAAUUCCAGCUCCAGGAACAACAACGCUGUGCAAGAGGAAGGAAUCAUCACAGUGAGGGAAAGAAUCAGGAAGAACCGAUCCUGGAGGGAGAUGAUACGCAAUCUCUACGCUUAGUGUUGCGAGUGGUGAUAUGAUUCCUGAUUGCGGCUUCACAGUAUAACGAGCCUUGUUUGUAGGCUGAAUCCUGAAAGCAACAGGCAUCGUGUGCAUGACAUUGCGGAGAGUCAGCUCCCCGGAACAUUUCUGCCCUGGUUCAAUUCUGAUAGCUACAAGGUUCGACGGCUCCAAGCUUACAAGCCUAUCCAUUGAUUAAUUUUCUCUCCGUUUCCCAAGGACUGCUGAAAGGGGUUCUUUGAACUUUUUGAUUCAGGCUUAUUUUCUUCACUUUUGGUGGCAUGGGGAGGAAUUAGAGGAGUAACUGUAAGAGCUGCAAGUGUUGGUGUAAUCAACUGUAAUAUAAGGAGAAGAGAGGGCCGGCUCUAAUGGGAGACUGCCACGUGGUGGUGUUAAAAACAAUGAGACUUGUUCUGUUCGGCGUCCGGAGUGUAUAUACAGUUGUGUUAGUGGUGAAAGUUAAAGAAAUCCUGAAGUUAUUUUCGGAGUGGCUUCUGCAAAGUCACUUUCAGGAUUGUAUUGUAUCAUUAAAAAACAAAGCCAGUUUUUGUUGUUCUAGUAAAAGGCGAAUCAUUGGACAAACUCGUAAGAAUAUGUUGCCAAAUGUAUAAAAUAUGAAAUUCAAACAAUGAUUACAAUGUGAAAUUGGACAAUGGACAUGGCCUGUGUGAAUUGUUUUGUGGGCUUACUAAUUAAAUUAAUUCACUAAAAAUAAUGUCACUUUUGUGUCUGUGAAGAAGCCGAAAUGGCACAGUCAUUUACGUGGCCAACUACGGUGACUACUUCGUCAGUAGCUGCUCGAGCACUUGGUCAGCACAAGUUGCUUUCUUUCUUGGCGGGAUUAGUUUUUCUUCAUUGCUUUAAGUGGUGCAUUUCUGCAGUUUCAUUUUGCUUUGCUUAUGCCAUUGGAUUUGUGCCCCAUAAAUAAAUAUAUAAUUAAGCGGAAAAGUAUCAAAUUUUGAAAAAGCUUAGGUUUUGUGUGUGUGUGUGUGUGUGUGUGUGUGUGUGUUUUAAGCCGAAUUACUCGGCUAAAAAUUAAUCCGAUUAUUAUUGUUUUGGUGCUUAAGAUGUGACUCUAACCUAAAGCUCAUUUGAACUCUCUUGAUGCUCAUAUGGUAUUUUUUGUGUUGUGUCGUGCUGGCCCUUACACAUCUCGGCUCAUAUUUUUCAUGUUACUAAGUUCUAAUAUGUACAAAAGAAAUAGAGCAAUGUCCGGUGGUAGAUCCAAACACUCAAUUUGGGGUGCUUAUUUUUCAGUCUCAAAUUCGAUUAUUUUCUUUUAAAAUAUUAAAAUAAUAGUAAUAAAAUACUUAUUUUAAAUACUGAGCUCAUUACAACCACAUAUGUAAAAGUAUCAUUUAUAUUUUUUUUCUAAAUAAUCUUCACAAAAUAUUUUAAAAAAUAAAAUUAUGUGACUAUGGGGAUUUGAACCAAGUCUCUCAAACUACUAAAUAACACUUUUACCACUAAAUUACAAAUCUUUUAACAUAUUAAAAGUGCAUCCAAAUUAUUAUUAUUAUUUAAUUAUUUCAUAAGAGAUUUGGGGCACAUUUAAAAGAAAAAAAAUUAAUGGUGCAUAAAGGACUAAAGCCUCUCUUGAGUCCUUGACCUUAACUAGGUCCACCCAUGGUAAUGUCAGUGAUACCCAACUUGAAAAAUAUACAAGAAACUUGGAAAUUUAAAUUAAUGAAUAAAUAAAUAAAUAAAAGGAAACUUAGUGAUUGUAGCUGUUGUAUUGUAUUGUGGAUCAAAGAAUUACAAGUUCUUGGUUUCUCGGUAUUGGCUAAUUUUGAAGUUAAAUGAAGUUCGAAAAUAUUUACAAGCAAUAAAAUUAUCAACUGAAUGAGACAAGGAAAGAGUAUAAAGACCUUAGCAAAUUAGCAAUCCUUCUUUAAUUUAGUAACAGUGACGCUUAUAAAGUUAGAAGACGUAUCAAAUCUAAUUUAGAUUUUGCCCCAUAAAACUAACUUAACUUAUAGUGCGUCUUUGUUUAAUUAGUAAAUAUUCCACAAAAACUGAUCAGCACUUUAUAGGAAAUUCCAAACACGUUUAUAUUCACAAGGAAUAUGUCAAGGAGAAAUGAGAAUAAAAAAAUGUAAAAACUAAUAAAGCUUCAUUAAUUAGAAUUUAUAACCAUAUGUGCUCCUAUACUACUUUUAUUAUUAAGAAUUUGAAGUAGAAGGUAGUUGAUUAUCAUGAAAUUACAAAAUUGUAAACGGAUUUGUUCUUUUGGAAAAAGAAAAAAAAAAAAAAAGGAAGGAUAGUUGAUUACUUGAUUAGUGAGAAAUCAUACGUAUAAAGGACAAAUUGAAAAAUGGGACCUGAAUUGCAACAAAGCUUCAUUGGAAUUAACUGCCGAUAAAAUUAAAUUAGUAUCACCCUACCCUUUCAUCUUAAUAUAUUCGAAAUUUCACCGAUCAAAGUUUCUAGCUUCGAUUUUUACGAUCUCUCAUCCUAAUAACACCAAAAGCAUAUUCAUUCGUUUGUAAGAUUAUGUAACAAAAUAUAGUAAAUAGCCUAUAAUUUUUUUGUUUUACUACUAACCUGUUAUCAUUCUUUUCUAAUAAUACAUGUUAAAAUAUUCACAGAAAAAAUUUAUCCCUAUUACACCCAACCACCUUUUUUUGUGUUUUUUUUGUUCAAAUUUUAGCAUUAAAGGGACAAUAAUGUCCUAUGAAAUAUGCAGAAAGACAGUUAAUAAUAUUCAAAAAUGUAAGUGGAGGUAUCUUACGCCACACACACAAAUUACACGACUCUCAUUAAUGUGUUGUUGUUGUUAUGUGUGGCGUAAGUUACAGUUGAAUGUCAUAUUCAAAAAAGUAAGUGGAGGUAUCAAUCUCCCUAAAUAAAUAAUUUAUGGAAGGUUGUUAGCUGUUGUACUUUUAGUUAAUUUUAAAAUCACAAUAAUAUGGUUAAUGUUAAGUUACAUGCAUGUAACUUAGGAGGAUCCCAAUAAUAUACCAUAUUUUAUUAAUAUGUACAGUAUUUAUAAUAUUUAAAAAUUAAGGAAUUAAUGUACGCAUGUAAAAGCUGCAUUGGAGCCAGUUGGAAAUCUUACUGUCUUGAUAUAUGCAACGAUUGUAGCAGCUAAAAAGGCAUGAUAUUUACUUAAUAUUAUUUCAAACAAUAAUUAUUUAUUUAAAGCAAAUAAUAAUAAUGAGGGCAGAAGGACUAUUCUAGGAUCAAUAUGGUGACAGUAUAAAUAAAUAAUAUUAAUUAUUAAUGCAUUGAUGAGUAUUGUUAAAAUGACAUAAUAGGUUUGUUUCAUUGAAUUGAACCUUUUCUCUUAAAAUAGCUAUAAUUUGUUCUCUCUCUCUCUGUGUUUUUGUUUUUGUUUUUCACUUUAGUUUUACUUCUCUUAAAAAACCAAAAAAAAAAAAACAAAAUUAAUGGAAACUGAUGAUGGGAAGACGGACAAUUUUCUAUAUUGUUAAAUAGAAAUGGGCACAAAUGUGAGUUUUUUGGGGCAAAAAAAUAUAGUCAAUGUACGUAGCGUUUGUCUAUUUGAAAACCCGUCAAUAUAAAAACAGGACGUAAAGCUUUCAGACAAAGUACUCUUAUGGCCGUACUUUCCAUAAACCAAAUCAAAAGAAGGAAAAUAUUUGUGUCUGGCUUCGAUGCGACUGUUAACAUUCACAAAUAAACACCUUUGCAUGGUCAGAAAAAUUAACAAGAAAUUAGAAGGCGAUGUUGCGUUCUACUUAGUUCUCUAGGAUUUGUGUCAUUUGUUUAUGCUACGGUUCGUUCCCAUUUGCAUUGCGUGGAAUAAUUGGCCGAAUAUUAUUAAUCUCAAUCUUAAUCUCUCAACUCUUGUCCCUUUAAUUUUUGUUUGUAUCUUUUUCUUUUUUUUUUUAAAUAUCACAUACAAUGCUUUUAAUAAAUAACUUCAUAGAAAUAUUUAAUAAAAUCCAACAUAUAUAAGUUCAAGAAACUCAAAAAAUAAAAGAAAAUAAACUCACGUUGUCACUGGAGAGACUCAAACAUGCUACCUUAAAAUUAAGUAGAGGGUGCAACUACUUGCACUUUAAAAAAAGAAAAGAAAAAAAAAGGGGCUUUGAACGCUCGUGAUAAUUUGCAAGUUAUGGAGGAUAAUCAUUGUACAAUGGGGAGAACUCUUAUGGAACAAUAUUCAAACUGAUAUUGAAAGCAUAUAAGAAUUUGGCUUGGGUGUUUUGGUGCCAUGAAUGAGUGCAGAAACAAAGAGGAAGCUUUGUCCCUUUAAUUUGAUCUGCUGUAUUAUAAUUAUUGAGAUUAAUCAAAUAAAUAACCGAAACAUGGUUACAGUUUUAUAGUGUAUUGCAAGUCUUUGGAGAUACUAUGUACCUCAAAAAAAAAUAUCGUAUAAAAGAGUGUUUUGUUUCACAGGGGUUCAAUGAGAUUUGAGAUGGCUGUAAUGAAAGUGAUGUAAAUUUUUUGGACUCUAAUGAGGUGUUUUUAGAUGGAGGGGGAUUUACAAGUAUUUUAUAGGGGUGAUAAAUGACUGUAUACCCACCAAAAAGGCCCAUUGUUCGAGUCCAUGAGCAUUACAGUUUUUUUUUUUUUUUUUUUUGAAAUUCAGAACAUGCAGUUUGUUUGAUUCAACUUCCGAAUUACAAAAUUAGAAUAAGAAAAAAAAAUGUGGAUGUUUUUUCUUUAAUUUACAUAAUAAUACAUGGUGUGGACGAUGUCUAUUGAGGGAUAAAAGAGGAAUGGGGGCACUGUGAAGUUUGUGUUUUUGUUUUUUUUAAAUUAUCAUAUUCAUACUGUCUAUAAAAAUAUGCAAGUUAAAAAAUUACUCAUGAUAUUGUUGUUUUUGUUUCAUAUAAUACUACUUAUGCACAUCGCCUCAUGCAAACAUUUCUUAGUUAUGCUUAAAAAAAUGAGAUUCUCACCAUGGGUCACUGUAAAAAUCCACAGAAGCCGUGGAUCACAGUAGGAAGCCCACUUGAACAGAAGAAGCUACCGAAAGCUUCGACAUUGUAUUUAUGAAAUGCUUAGUAAAUUUUGUUUUAUUUUGAAUUUAUAUUAUAAAUGGUGUGUUGCUAAAUUAAAAAAUAAAAAAGAAAUGCAAUGUGUCAAAAUACAAGAAUCUUACGGACAUUUUUGUCACAAUAUAUGUAAAUAAUUCAUAUCUUAUUCAUAUCCUAUGUAAGCUUCACUUGUUUAACACAAUGGUGGUUGAAUCUUCAAAAAUUCAUAAUCUUAAACAACCAAAUUUGGAAUUAAUUAAGCAAAUUGCCUCUAUAAAUUGAUUACAACAACCAACGACGUGUGAAGCCACAUGUCAAUUUCCCUAGACAGCCCAAAUAUUGAGGCGCUGUGAGGGAGCAAGGUGCAAUCGGAUGGGGGAAAGAGAGAGAGCCAAUGGUGAGAAUGGAUCGUGGUGAGGGAGAACCAACUGGUGGUGAGAUUUGUGGCUUCAAUGAGGUGAGUUUCGUGGCGCUGUGAGUGAAGUGAGAUUUGGCAUGAGUGUGAGGGAGAAUGCGUGUGUUGUGUGAGUGAGGUAAGCUGUGUCUGUUGUGUGCAUGGAGACUCUCACCACAAUUAGAAUUUAUAGUUAGCACAGAACGAAACACAAUAUUCUACGCUAACUGUGGAGUUAACCAUGGUGAGAAUAUCAUUAUUGUUUAUUAUAACACUUUUUUUUUUAAUUUGUUUUGACAAUAAAAUAAAGAACCUUGUAAGAAAACCUCAAUAACUCAAUUAAAAAACCAACUCAACCGAUGAUAGGUAAAUUGAGAAAUUUUCAACUAAAAAUUAUUAAGAUUGGUUUUAACUUCAAAUCAUAGUCACAUAGUUUUGUCCUUAUAAAGAUCAAAAUAAUGAAUUCUAACUCCGAAGUUUUUAGAUUUAUGUGACGAACUGACGAUAGUAUAUUGAAAUCGAUUGAAAUGAAAAAUUUAAUUAAAUGCAAUUCAAGAUGUAGUAUCAAAUUCAAACGAUUCGGAUUGUUUUAAAAAUUUCAAUGCUUUAAUCUAAAUCGAUUAAUCAAUUACACUCUUGCAAUUAUAUACCGUUAAAACUAAAAUAUGUAAAAUUUAGGGUGCAUUUAUUACCAUUUUCAAUUUGUUGUUUUUCGUUUUAUGAAAAGGAAAAUACAGAAAACUUGUUUGGUGAGCUCAUAUUGGUGGAAAACUGUACAGUGAUUAAAAACAAAAAAAAAUUCAUUUUUCAAUGUUUACAAAGGAAACAAGAAAACGCUAUUACACUGGGUUCUCUAUUUUAUUUCACUUUUACUCUCUGCCAAGGCCCUACCAUCUUAACUUUUAUAACAUGGUGUAAUAAAUUACGUGGGCCCAUUUAAUAAAGAAAUAAUCUAAUAAAUAAAUUAUUAUAACAAAUAUUUAAAAAUAAUAGCAUUCCAUACCUUACAGCUUAAUUACUUAAUAUAUUACCCAAAUUAUUUUAAAUAAAAAGUGAUAUCAUAUAAUUAUUAUACUAAAUUAUUACAUUGUUCGACCAAUAUGCAGUUAUUUAAAAAUUACUACAAACUUUCUUACAUAUAUUAAUGAAAAUAUAUCAAUAAUAAAGUUACAUCUUGACAGUUAAUAUAAAUAAAUAUAUGAUAAUUAUGAAAUAAUUAAAGAUUUUCUCAAUUAAUAUUAUCUUAUAACUACAAUUUAUUUACAUAAUUAAAAGUUUUUAAGAAAUUAUUAAAAUAUCUUCAAACCUAUAUGCAUUUAUAAUAAUAUAUAAUACAUCAUAAUAUAAUAACUAAAUAGAUAAAUUAUUUAUUAAUAUAAAAUAUAUGUUUAUAUUCAUUAUAUAAUAUUAUUCUUUCAUAGUAGUUUCAUUAAAUAAUUCUCUACUCUCUCUCUUUUUAUCUUUAUUUUUUCGGACAGACAAGUAACCAAACACCGCUUCACCUUUUUUUUAUUUUCAAAUACUAUUCUUAAAAUAAACUACCAAACAUAUUUUUAUUUUUAACAAAAACUAAUCAUUUUUAUUUUAUAAAACAAAUUGAAAAGUACUAUUUAAAAUAUAAUACCAAACUUACCCUUAAUAAUUUUAUAUUUGUCAAAAAGAUGAGAAGCUAAGUGGCACUAUCGUUUACCUAUUCAAACUAAACGUGGAGUCACAAUAUUGAAGACACUUUGGUGGCCACAACACUCUUUUCUUUAGUACGGAACAAUCUGGCUUACAUGACACUACAUAAAAAUAAAUAAUAAAAAAUCACCGAUUCCAACUGCCCCGGACAAAAAACAGGCCACACGUAAAAAGGCUUCUAUUUUUAUUUUUAUUUCUCCCCAUUUUAAAGAUGACGUCAUGGUGAUUAUGAAACCAGAAAAUAACAAAUUUUAGUUGUCUGAUUUUGUAGUUAUCCAGCGAAAACUAAAAAAACAGUGAACGCAGCAGCAGAUCUCCGUGUUUGUCGUCGUUCGAUGAGAGAUUCCGAUUCGUGAGCAUCGCAAGUGUUGAAAUGGAAUCAGACGAAAUGAGGAGUUAGCCUCUUAUUAUAUAAUAAUAAUAAUGAUAAUAAUAAUAAUAACUAAUCUCUUUUAUCAUAUAAUUGAUAAUGGAAAUUCACAUUGACAAAAGGCAAAUUACACACUGACUGGGCAGAAUAAAAAACAGUCUCUCUCAAAAGCAAUAAUUUAAACACUAACACCACCUUAAGGAGACACCCCAAAAAUAAAGCAGCAAGCUCUUACUGUGACCACACACACACACACACACCAAACUUUUAUUAUAGAAUAAAUCUAAGAUGAUGGAUGAUGGAUGCGUCACAUAAAAGUUAAUUAAUUUAAUCGCUGUCACUGCUGCUGCUGCUCUCGUGUCCGUCCUCGUGCUUCUUCUUCUUCUCCUUCUUUUUCUUCUUCUCUUCACCGUGGGCGGCGCCCUCGCCGCCGCCGACACCGGGGAUCUUCUGCUUGAUCUUGUCCACCAAGCCCUCCUUGUGUUCGCCCUCCUUGUGUUCCCCGCCGUGAUGCUGCUGCUGAUGGUGAACAUCAGUAGUGCCGACACCGGGGAUCUGCUGCUUGAUCUUGUCCACCAAGCCCUCCUUGUGUUCGCCGCCGUGAUACUGCUGCUGAUGGUGGACAUCAGUAGUGUGGUGGUCCCCACUAUGGUGCUCUCCCUUGUGCUUGUCCUCCUCCUUUUGCCCUCCUCCCAUGUGAAGGGCUUCUCCGAUCUUGUGAAUAACUCCUGACAUUUUCCCUUAAAAUGACUCUGUUCCUCUUCUUUUCUUUUCAAUGAAAAAUAGUUGUUUGCGAUCUUCUUCUGGUUGUUGUUGUUCUUGUUGGGUGAUCUUGGCUUGGUAUUUAUAGGCUCCAAAAGGAGGGACUAGAAUUAGGAUUAGAUUAUAGAUUAUUUUAAUACAUUUUAUGGCAAAUUCUGAUUUGGAAAGAUAAGAUUAUCCUUUUGGUUUUCCUUAUUUACCCUUUUGCACCCAUUACGUGUACGCGUCUUCGUGGGCUUUUUGGGUAUUUCAAUUAUAUCGCCAAUGCUAAAUCGACACGUUGCAUAUCAGCCGCGGUACUGCCGUAUGUAGUUGUCCAGAAAUCGAGUCGAUUCUCGAUCGUACAAUAAUUAAAUAAUAUUUCAUACGAAAUGAGUUUAGAUAUAUUUUGAAAAUUUAUUUUUAAUUUAAUUAUACGUGUUAUAUAUUUGUUAAUCGAAUAGAGGUCCCACGUAACAGAGUGUUUCUCUAAUCUUUCAUUGCUUUUAAUUAAUUUUACCCAAAUAAAAAAAAAAAGGAAAAUUUAGAGAGAGAGAGAGAGAUAGCGAAUUAGAAGUUGAUUGUAAUAUCGACACCUGUCAGACAAUCAAAUAUCGUUAGUUAAAAAUCAGUUGUCCAUAGUCAUGGUCAUAGAUGGCGAAAUUGAUACUUAUUUUAAAAAACAAAACAAAACAAAACGAAACGAAACUAAACUAACAGAUGUUGAAAUGCAGUUCCGUGUUAACAGUCUGUGAUGAAUCUUUAUCUUUGAGUAUACCAUUCAAGAAAUUAUCAUUCAAAAAUUUAUUUAAAGCAGCAGCAAAUCACCUUCUAAUUCCUGAAUCAAAUUAAUUCGAUUUUUUUCGAGUCGAUCAAUUCAUUAGAGAAUUAACGGGCUAAGUUAAAGUUUUGUUAGUUAUUUUUUUUUAUAUUCCUUUAGAUGAUAUGAUUGUCAUUGUCUUUCUUUCUCUGGGCAACAAUAAAUACAAGAUGUGCAAAAGCGUAGUGGAACAUAAUUCGAUUAUGGGUAAAGGGAUCAGUCCGCAUAAUGAGGAUAAAGUUUUUCUCUUUAAAAAAAUUUAACCCAAAGAAAAGGUCGUAGUUUGUAAUAGCCGACACGCAGAUAGAUCACAAAGCAUGGCGGUCCUGAUGGCAAUAACUAACUGAUAUCUUCUGCGAUGAGAGGAGAUCACGUGGUUCUGACACGUAUCGCCCCAUCAACUGAUGUUGUGGCUGCAAUCGCGGCCCAGUCUUUAGAGAGAAGAAAGAUCUGUUAUAACGGGACCUACUUUAGCAUCUAUUUACGACAAAGCCCCUAUUUACUCUACUUAGUAGUAAUAAUAGCAAGUGUCGGGCUUGGAUUCCGUGUUGCUUUAAAUAAAUAUCCGCGUAAAAAGAAAAUGCUUCUUUAAUCCCUUCCUUGUAAUUUUUCGACACGUGGAUGGUUGAAAUUAGCGUGCCGACAUCUUAGGAAUUUUAUCUUGGAGACGGGAACACUGCAGUAGGCAAUGCCAUUUUCUUCGGAUGGUGUGUGGUGACAACGCCUUGGAUUUUGACGUGCAAAGAAUUUAAAUUGAAAAAGAAAAAAAGAAAUUACCAGAAUAAGCAUAGAAGAGAUAUUUUUCUUUUUGUCCUUUUUGGAAUGGAAAAAGAGAUCAAGAGAUUGUUCCAGUAAGUAUUACACAUGUCACAGGCUUAUUCAUGCCCCAUUAUGGCAACUUUUAUGCCUCGCGGUGCCCUCGGUUCCAGCAUAAUAGCUAAGACUUCAAUUUUUCUAACAUAUUUUUGUUACAAAUAUGAACGGAGUAAAUGUAUAACUUUAAUCCUUUGAAUAAAGAAAUGGCGGUUCUCCUGCUCGUUAAUCUCACUUGAAUCCCACCCAGGCAAAAUUUCUUUAUUUUAUUUAACAACAAUUUAAAGAAAGAAACUUUUGCCAGGUUGAAUUUCAAGUGAGAUUCAUUCGUGGGAGAAGUGCCAUUUCUUUAUUCAAAAGAUUAUGGUAAUUACAACUUUCAAUUUCGACAUAAAUUAAAAUUAUAGGCUAUACAAUAAAAUUGCCCUAAAUUAGUCCUAAUCAAUUCAGAUUAUAAAUUUAGGUAUAUUUAUUAUUUUAAUAUAUUAAUGUUCUAUAUAUAUAUAUAUAUAUAUAUAUAUAUGUGUGUGUGUGUGUGUAUNNNNNNNNNNNNNNNNNNNNNNNNNNNNNNNNNNNNNNNNNNNNNNNNNNNNNNNNNNNNNNNNNNNNNNNNNNNNNNNNNNNNNNNNNNNNNNNNNNNNNNNNNNNNACAGCAGAAAAUAUUUGCUAUGGAUAAGGAGACAUGGUCCCACGUCCCACCGUCCCAAUGCAUAUUUUGUAUGUUUCCAUCUUUUCUGAAAUUUUAAUAAAUAAAGUUUUUUGACCACUUGGCCAAAGAACCUUACCCUUACACAACUUUGUGGUUGGAGUCCUGUGAUACAUGUAAGAACUUAUUUUUUUUCUUAAUUAUAAUAUUUUAGAAUAUAAUUAAGUGAAGUAGGUUUUUUUUUUAAAUAUGAGUAAAAUAGAUAUUUUUUAAAUAUUAAAGAGAGUAAAAUUUGAAUAAUAAUAUAUUAAAAUUAAUACAAACUAAUUUUAAUAAUUAUUUAAUUAUAAAUAUCAAUUAUAACAUCAUAUAAUAUCAAUUAUAAUAUCGUACAUCUCAAUUAAUUCAAUAAUAAUAAUAAUAAAUGUUUUUUGGGAUAAGUAAACAGUCGCAUGGCGACAAUAGUGGAUCUGGAUUAGAGUGAAGUGGUCCCAAGAGGCUGAGGCUGUGGCUGUGGAGUUCUAAAAGUCAAAAGCUCCACGCACUUUGUUUCAGUACCAUACACACUGAAAAAAUUUGCAUUUGCAAUGACGAAAACUUUUCACGAAAUCAAAACACCUCUAAACUAUUUUGUUAUCGAUAUUUAAUGGAGGGGUUUCCUACCUUUUUAACACUCGAUUCACGCCUUGACGCAUCUCACAGAAAACCUCAUGAUCCCAUUAAUCUUGCGUAACAUAUCUCAAAGCCAAUGCAAGUGAUCUUGUUGCCUACUUCCCUUUGACGAUUCAAAAUUGUUGAAAAUAAUUCUUUUUUUUUUUAACCUCAAGGAAGUGACAAAAUAUAAAAGAAUAUUUUCUACACAUUAAACAUCUAGAUUUUUUUUUCUUUUCUUUUUAGAGUACUUGCACAAACCGUUUCCAAGAGAGACCUUUUUUUUUUUUUUUUUUUUCCGGGCUUGGUUACUAAUUUGGUGUGAAUACUCUAUGGUGAAAAAGGAAUCACAAAGCUGUAAUCAAUUUUUUUGCAUCAUUUAGUUGUAACUUGAACAUUGGGAGGUUUAUAAAGAAUUAAAUUAAUUAUAAUGCCUCUACUAGGAAAAGUUCAGAGUAGCCCUUCACAACUUUUUAAAGGCUUAAUAAUUUUCGCUUUCUUCCUCUCAUAACAUAACAAAAAAUUAAGAGCUUUACUCGUACACGUCCUAUGGCUAUAUAGUAUUGGGUUCUCUACUUCAAUCGGCUAUCUCAAACCGAAGGUUAUUUGGACACACCAGCAGUCACGUUUGGAAACUCUCAAAUGCUUGGAUUGUAAUUCUUGUGGAUGAGAUCAUCUAAAUCUUGGGCCCAAGCCGGACAAUGGGUGGACAAAGAACCCUAAAAUACAGUAAAGCUUCUAACACCCCACUAAAACUCUUAAGAAAUCCUACCUUUUAUUUUUAUAUCUCUUUCUUUUAGAAAUUAUAGAGAAGACAUAGCAUUUUAAUUAUUUUCCCUGCCAUUGAAAAUAAAUUCUGUAAACAUAUUUUUUCAUAAUAAAAUUAUUGUUAUUAGAUAAUUUAUUUCUUCAUUGUUUCAAAAUUAUUAUAAUUUUAUCAACAAAAUUAGUUAUGUCAUAUAUUAGGAUUAAAAUUAAUUAGGAUCCAUAACUUGUAAAGACAUUUUAGUUUAAUUGAAUUCAUAUUUGUCAUUUUAUGUAAUUUUCAAUAAAAAUACGACUAUGAGUGCAAAAGUGGGAUGACAUAAUAUUAAAAGAGUGUGAAAUAAUCGGUAAUUGAAAUGGAUUGAAAUCAUAAUAGAGUAUGAAAAUCAGAAUAAAUUGUUUACUUUAGUUGUAGAAAUCAAAAUUAAAAUAAACCAUAUUAUCAUUGAUGUAUAUAUGUUUUCUUGUAAUCGAAAUGAAUUCUUAUAAGUUACUAUAAGACCCUUAUGGUGUGUUUACUAAUCAGAAAUCAGAAUGGAGUGGAAUUUGAAUAUAGAAUGGUAGGGGUAUUCGCGGAUCGGAUUUUACGGAUUGGACAUUAAUUCAUAUCCGAUCCAUAAUUUUACGGAUUAUAAAUUCUCAACACAAUCCAAAUCCAAUCUAUAUGUUUGCAGAUCGGAUGCGGAUUUGACUCAAUUCAUAUCCAAUCCACUAUUUGACGGAUUGAUUUUGGAAUUAAAAAUUUUUAAUUUUGUCCAAUCUAUGAGGUAAUUAAAUUUAAAAAUCUAAUAUAAAAAUAAUUUAUUAAAUAAAAAAUUAACGUAAAAAUAAUUUUACUACCAAUUAAAUUCAAAAUUGAACAAGAUUUAAAUAAAUUAAUUAUUUAAAUAAAACUAGAAUAAUUUAUUUAAAAUUUUUAAAUAUAACAUAUCGAAAAAAAAUUCAUUUGUUUAGAUUAAUAUAUGAAAAUUAACUAAAAUUAUGAAUUUAAAUGUUGAAAUUUGAGAGCUUGGAUGUAACAGGAAGAAAUUAAGAAACUUGAAGAACUUGAAAAGAAAGUAACAAAUUAAGCUUAACUACCUCUAAUGGUGAAGUGAAACAGUGAUGGUUUGUGCGUGCAAUGGGGUACAAAUUUGGCAUUAUAUGCCAAAAUAUUUUGUUUGGCUUUAGAAUUUUUAAUGUUUAGGAAGCUAUAUUUGUUUAUUUAAUUACUCAAAUAUUUAAUUAUUUUUUAUUUUAUGUUAUUAUUGAAUAAGAUAUAAUAUUGUGUUAAUUUAGCUAUACUUUAAUUAAUUAAUUAAUUUAUUAGUAAGUAGCAUUGCUACAUUUAUAAGUUUUAUUUUUUAUUAAAUAAAUACUUUUUUUUUUCAGAUUCACGAAUUUUUACGGAUUUACAGAAAUAAAUCCAUAUCUAAUCCAUCGACUGUGGUUUUUUAAAUUUUCAUUCCAAUCCGAUCUACCAAUCCACAAAUUAUAUUUUUACGGAUCGGACGAAUUGAGCGGAUCAAAUUGGGUUCUGAACACCCCUAGAGAAUGAGAAUCAAAAUAAAUUAUUUACUUUAGUUGUGUGAAUCGGAAUUGGAAUAAAUUGUACUGUCAUUGAUGUGUUUACUUUAUCUUGGAAUCAGAAUGAAUAAUUUCAAAUUACUAAACUGACCUUAAUUUUUUAUUGUAAUAAUAAUAGUAGUAGUAGUAGUAAUAGUAGUAAUUUUCUAUUAUUAUUAUUAUUUUCUCUCUCUUUUGUUUUUAUUUUUUUAUUUUUCUCUUCUUCUUCUCUUCCUCUUUUUUUAUUUUUCUCUAAUUCAUCGAUACUUCUUCUUCUUCUUUUUUCUUUCGUUUUUAUUUUUAAUUUUUCCCUUCUUUAUCGUUCCUUCUUCUCCGUCCAUUCUCUAUCUUCAAACUCUUUUUACUUUUUCUCUUAUUCUUCAUUACUUCUUCUCCCUUUUUUUUUUUUUUCUCUUCUUUAUUAAUUCUUCUUCUUCUGCGUCUAUUCUUCAUCUUCAAAUUAUCAAGUGAAAAAUACCCACGGUGCCUUACAAGAAGAAUUGGUUUUGUUUGCUUCAAUUAUUUUUUGUAUUUUGUACUUUUGAUUGUUUCAAAAGAGGAUAAACUUGUAAUAAUGCAAUUUAAGUAGGGAUGUUUUAGACAAUUUUGGGUAUGAGAGUCUAAUUCCCAACCCCCCACUCCCUCGUAGCAGACUCCCAUUCUUCAUUCCUAACUUGGUGUUGGACCUACUAAAAUAAAUCCCAUUCCCCUUCUUAUUUCAAGAAGCAAACACGAUUUUGAUUUCAAUUCCCCAAUCCGAAAGUAAACGCACAAAAAUUGUACCCAUAUGAGAUUGCUUAUCCUCGAGUUUUUAGAUUGAAAAAAAAAAAGGAAAAAAGAAUGGCCCCAUUAGGAAGGGAUUUUAAGUGUUAGAUAAAGCCGGUGUUAACCAUUAGAAGGUCUCCGACCUUCAACUGUAAUAUAUUAAACCCAGAUAAAUUUACAUAUAAAUCACACAAACCAACAUGCCAAUCAAAUAAAUUACAUCAACUAACAACAAUUGACACAUUAAUUUUCAUAAUACAGAGGAUGCAGAAAAUUAAAAUGUUUUAUCUUUUCUCCUUAUUUGUGAAUUGGAAAAUGAAAAUGUUAAACAUACAGAAGAGUGAAACAGGAUGGAUAUAUAUACACACACACACACACACAGCUUUGGAGUUCAAUGUCAUCGUAUUGCUCCAAGAAGAUUGGCGCCAUCAAGCUUUGCACCUUCCAGAUGCUGUUUAAUCAUCACCAUAACACCUUCAGUAGACAUUAAUACAUAAUAGAAACACAAAAUUCACAUGAUCUGAAUGUCUGGUCUAUUUUACUUACCGUAUCUCGAAGAUUUACGUGCCGUAAAUAAGCUCUUUGAAGGUUGGCACCCUUUAAAUUGGCAUUACGUAGCUUUGCACCCUGCCGCAUAAAUGUUCGAAGUUUCAACAAAUUAAAGUCUCCUGAGAAAUACAUGUCACGAAAAAGUAGGGCUGAAACUUGCAUCUAAUGUACAAGAUUCAAUCAGGGGUGCUUGUCCCACAGUGAAAGUGUAUGGGGGAAAGUGCACUUUCACAAACCAAAGGGGCAAGAUGUGAUUAUCACACGAUUACAAAAGGACUGUAGUCAAGAGAGAGAACUGAACAUGCAGCUUGUAUUGAGGCCAUGAAAAUUGAUGAAAAGCAGUAACAAGCAACCAUUUUGAAAACACUUCAUAUGGUCGAAUCAAUAAAUCAAAGCUAAAAUGAUGUUGACGAUCGAUAGCUUUUAGGUGAUAAGAGUCUUGGCACUACAGUUAAAAUUAUUAUCUAGGAGUGCACACAUUAAUAAAAAAAAACACAACCAAUAAGCAUGCACUCUUAAUCAGCAUAUAAAUUAACAAGUUAGUUGCACCUUAUGUUGUUCCACAAACAGAUUGCUCGAACAAUUCACAAUCUUACCUUCAAAUUAGCUCCUUCCAAAUUAGCUCCCUCUAGGUUGGCAUUAGUAAGAUCAGCAGUCUGAAAAGUCAAGAGGACAAACAGAUUGCAAUUUGAUUAAAAUCUCAAAGUAGCAACAUUCUGCAUGAAAGAAGAGCAGCACAAUUGGCAACAUACAUUUUAGAUUAAGAGGAUGGGAUAAAAGCAAAAUUACAAGGACAUGAAGCAAAUGAGCCAUGUUUAGUAUGGCAAUUUUGACCCAAUAAUUGUGGCAGGUCUUGGAGAUAACAUAGGCAUACACAUAAGGCAGAAGCAAAUACUGUCGCAAACUCCUAGCUAACUACAAAUGUUCCAUAUAGAAAAAAACACCUGCAAAAGUAAGGGAAAAAGCAACAGAUAAAGAACUCAAGAUGCUAGACCUGUAAGUGUGCAGAUCGCAGGUCUGCUCCACAGAAGCUGCAGUCUAUCAAGCAAGCAUCUGCAAUGAUUUAAGAUAAAUUUGAAUCCAAAUGACAUUUUACCGCAAGUAGUUCCAGCCAUUUUGGGAACAAACAAGAAAUGCUAUUUUGUAUUCAUUGUAAUUCCUUAAGCUAAAUAACAAUCAUGUGCUAUCUUAACCAAGGUACAGUUGCAAAUUCUGAAAUUGUGAUGCCAUAGGUUGUUCUUAAUCUUUUUGAACUGAAUAUUGAAAAAAUAUUCCUUCAAUCAUAAAUGUUAAAUAAUUAAAAGAACUGUGAGGGGGGNNNNNNNNNNNNNNNNNNNNNNNNNNNNNNNNNNNNNNNNNNNNNNNNNNNNNNNNNNNNNNNNNNNNNNNNNNNNNNNNNNNNNNNNNNNNNNNNNNNNNNNNNNNNNNNNNNGGGGGGGGGGGGGGGGGAAUGAAUAAGCGGAUGCAUACAGAAAAUUAUGGAAAAUCUGUUAUGGAAAUAAUAUGAAAAUGGGUAUGCAUAACUACAUACUGAAUCUUGACUAAUUUCAAUUUAAUUCAGAUAAGAAAUUCCAGUAUGGGAAUUGCCUUGUAAAUUUGCACUCUGAAGAUUUGCACCAGCUAGUAAAGCUCCACGAAGGUUUGCCCCAGCAAAUUCACAUCUUCCCUAGGCAAGAUAAAACCCUUAAAAGGCAAUUUUGAAAAAUACAUAUAAUUGGGAGAAUAUCCAGUAUUGCUUUGACUCUCUUACUCACGCAAAGUUGCAUUGUGAAAAAUGGAACCCUCAGCAUCCACAUCCUGUAUCAAGAACAGACAGAUUCAGUAUGAUUAAUAUAACUGGUUGCUGGAAGACAGGACAAAAUCGCAUCUUGUCACUGUCAACUUGCAUGUUAAGAAUUAAACACGAAAACUGCAUGCUGUCCAAUUAUAAGAAACCUAUAAAAUUCAAAUCAACAUCAAUACUGGCUUAAGGAAGAUAUAAAAAUAAAAAUUAUACCAACCCGAAAUUUCGCAGAUUGAAGAUUUGCACGUGAGAAGAAAACAUUUCUAAGACACGCAUAGCUGAAGUCCACAAGUGAAAGAUCCUGGCCAUUUUAAUAAGAUAGCAUCAGAGGAAACAAUAUCUAAUGAAUAUAUAAUGUUCUUUCUUGCUUAUCUGAGAAUACUAAUGAGAUUAUCAAAAAAACUCUAAGCUACUGCUAAGAAGUCUUGUGUUACAUGAGUAUGAAUUGAGGAGGUAAAGAAGACCCUUCUCCAAUAAGUUACCAUAGAAGCCACAUAAAACCCUAAAGCAGUUACAAACUUACAAUGACCAGAAUAAACCACCCCAACUAUCUAUUGGCAAGUAAAAUCACUUCUCUGGAUUUCUGAAAACUAGCAAAACAAAUGCAUAAAUUGGCAAAUUCGAUGAUUUCCUCUGAAAACCAAAUUAUAGCAGACAUAAAACUUGGAAGUAUUCAUAGAAUAAAAAUCUUUCAAGCACCUCAAUUCAGUAAUUAUUACCAGCUUAGAAAGAUCAAGGCCAGAAAGAUUAAGUCCUCGAAAUCUGACUUUUUCAGACUGUAUACACUUGAUGAUAUCAAUGCGUGUUAGCUCAGUAUCUAACUCAUUAUCUUCCUUUCUCUUAUUUAUGACAGCAUGGAUUCUCUCAAUUAGUCCCUGAAAUGAAACACAUUAGAUGCAAACUAUUAUUUGAAAAAAGAAAUACAUUUUAUCCACUAACACACAUGGAUUUCAACAGCAAUCAUACAAUAAUUGAGGAAGGACGGUCAUAUCAGACUCAUCUGCCAAGAUUCAAUAAGCACAUCAAACUUGUUUACAUGUAAUUUCCACAUUCCACGUGAAUUUAUAAGGUCUGCCUAAGCAAACCAAAGAAGGCUACACUCAGUACUGUGUGUAUACUGCCUUACCUUUGCUGUUCCCCAGAUACCGUCCUGCAAUCCAGAUACUUAGCUGUGAAGUUUCAAGCCAGCGAAACCAUUUUAAAAGUACACAUGGACACAGAUACCAUUAUCUGAAUCAUCUUCGAUAACAAAUUAAAAUGCCCUAGCGUUCAAAAAACUUAGGAUCUCUUUAAGUGAAGUUCCUUUAAAAAAGUAGAAAAAAACUGAACAACAAUGUCAUGCUAAUAAAAGGUAAAAAAAAUAAAAUAAAAUAAAGCAUAAGGACAGAAGUUCACCAGGAGCAUGCCAGUAUAAACCAAAACGACCACAAAUCUCAACCAUAAAAUUUAAAGUAGUAAAGUAAAUAAUCAAGGGCAUGCAGUUGGCACAGGUGCUUCCAAAUAAAAUGAUGAUUCUUUUCAAACAGAAAAAAGAAAUGGAUGUUAAUAAACUAGAAGAAACCAUGUCUUACAAGUAAUUGAUAAUAUUCUGCUUCCCGUAGAAGCUCUAAAAACUCUGACUCUGUUAAUGUGGGGACAGCCCCAUCCCUUAACCAAUUCAGAAUAUGCCGAAAAUGUUUUCCGUCCCUAUCAACAAAGAUAUAGCCCUGCAAUAAUUCAAUAUGCUCAAAGAUAAGAAUCUGAAUAAUAUACCCAAGAGAAGUGCUUUUCCCUGGAAUAAUAAAAAGAAAAUAAGUCAAAACGUUUUUCUUAAUGGAAGAACACAAAGGAACAGCUCUAUGACUAACAUGAAAACCAUAAAUCAGAAUAAGAACCCAAAACUGGUCAUUUGGAGUUUCACCAGAUCAAAAAGAUCACAUGGAAAUAAAAUUGUGAAAAUGGGAUUAUUUAUGCCGAGGUCAUGGCUAAACUGCAAUCAUUACUCCAUUUUUGGUAGAAGGAGAAGAAGAAAGAAGAGUAGGUGAGUCAUCAUUCUUUCAGGUGAGUCAUCAUUCUUUCUCUGUGAUUAAUUGAUAUGAUGGAAGUGUUGUAGAUAUUAAUUUGAUAGUGAUUCCUCCCUUCAAAAGAAUUCAUUCCUUUUUUUAUUAUUUCACAAAGUUUAACUAAGACUGAGUUUUCUCAAUUUGAAGGCAUCGUGCACUCUACCCCUUUCUUUUCCUCACAUUGCUUCUUCCCAAUCCCAAAGGGAAGAAAUCAAGAAACAAUUACAAUUUUUAACUAUUCACCAGCAAAAACAAGGCAAAGAAAGAUGCUGAGUGUAAGCAAAAAUAAGAGAGUUAUACACCUCAGAGUCUUGGCACACAGUAUGGCGACCGCUGAACAUAGCUGCAAGCAUAGAUUCAGGCUC
RNAcentral lists this long non-coding RNA (82370 nucleotides) under Citrus sinensis (sweet orange). RNAcentral's name for it is "long non-coding RNA (CSIN_LNC002323)". Lineage: Eukaryota; Viridiplantae; Streptophyta; Magnoliopsida; Sapindales; Rutaceae. The record is from RNAcentral.